UUAUCGAUUUUUUUUUUGUAAGCCGCAAUGGGCAAAAAAGAAUAAGGGACGGAUAAAGGGAGCAACUGGUCAACGGGAAUAAGGGAACUCGUUUAUUGAUCGUCUGCAAUUGGAAUCAAGAGAAAGUGAGGAGUAAGCGUGCAUGUGCACGAGAGAGAAUAGCCAAGCAAACCAAAAAUCUAUUGCUCAGGGAGGAGAGAGAUCAUAUAUAGAUGAUGUAUUAACGAACUACUCCAUUCGUCCCUUCUUUAUCAAGAUGGAUAUAUAUAUGCACAAUAUUAACAGGAUACGAAUUAUAAGCUAAAAUAUCAUCAAUGAUAGCUGCACUGGUUUGACACUUCACGACAUGGACACUUUCACAUAGGAGGUAACUUUUUUUGUUUUGUUUUUUUUUUUUUUUCUGAAUUUGUUGGUGCUCUAUGUUAAAGUUUAAUUAGGUGUAUAUGUAUAUACAGUUAGUAGUCUUGAGAUUCCAAAGUAUGCAUGAUGUUCAUAUAACCAAUAAUGUUGGGACUUUGCAUCCUUAAGAUGGAUAGGAGUGGGCACCCAGCUCACAACUCACACCACACACUGCUCUCAUUUAUUUAUUCCUUCUUUAUCAUCUUAAAACACAUAAAACGGAUCUUCUAGUAUGUGCCGUAAGUUUACAUAUAAGAAUUACUUAAUCGGUCCUAUAAACUAUUUUAUGUUUCCUUUUGAUUUGUUUCAAAAGAAUAACCUAUUUUUUUAAAACAAAUAUAUUUUUUUAUCAAAAUAUUCUUCUUUAUUACUUAAGCUACCAUAAAAUUAAAUACAACAAAAAGACAAAAAUAAAUGCAAAAAAAAAAAAUAUGAUUUUCAUUUCAUUUAAUAAAGUUAGUAGUAAUUAAUGUUUAUUUAAUAUAUACGUUUUUUUUCUAUGAAAAAUAAUUUUGGGACAGAUGGAAUAUUAGUUAUGGUAAAUAUUACCAUAACUAAAUGUUAAAUUAAUUAAUUAUAAAAAUAUUCUCAUUGAAAAAUAUGAAAUGCAUUAAUUAUUAUGAAUAUUAAUUAUAAUUAAUAAAUUUGGUAUUUAAUUAUGAUAAUAUUUUUCAUAUUUAAUGUUUCUUCUAUGGUUCCAUAAGAAACAUGUUACAAAAUCCCUACAAAAAAGCUCACGCUUAUCAUUUUUCGCAAUGCAUUCAUUUUUUUUCAAAAUAAAUACAAAUUAAUUAAAACCAUAAAGAAUAAUUUAUAAAUGUAAAAUUAAUAAUCAAAACAAAAUGUUAAUUAUAAUUGAUAGUAAUCUCCUCAGAGUUUGGCAAAUUAUGAAACACACACACGCACAUACACACACACACACACACACACAUAUAUAUAUAUAUAUAUAUAUAUGUGUGUGUGUGUGUGUGUGUGUGUGUGUGUGUGUUAAAUGUGACUUGAGAAUUAAAGGCCUGAAAUUAGAGUUUGAGCAUUUGACAAUUCAAUUUAGGAGAAUCUAUAUAUUCAAUGUAGUAUCUAAAAUUCUAUAGAGCAUGUAUAUAUUCAAUGGACUCUCAAAAAUUCUAAUUGCUAAUCUAUUAAAUAUGGAUGCUUGCUAAUCGUAUUUUUAUAUCUUGAAUCUCUGCUGAAAUUGUACUUGUAAUUCUCAUUUUGAGAAUUCUUAAAUAAGAAUACUCCUUCUUGCCUAUGGAUAUAGGUCAUAUUGACCGAACCAUAUAUGUAUUAUGUUUUGUGUGUUUGUGGUUUCAUGAUUUAUCCAUUUUACUUCCUUACAAGUGUUAUCAGAGCUUGAAAAGUGCCAUCAGAUUUGUUUUCAACCUUGACAAGUGAAGUGCCAUCAGAUUUGUACCAUCCGGUCUUACAGCUCGGGUCGGACCCUUGAGUUUGGUAUCUUAGUGAAGAUCCUUCGGUCUCACAAGAAUAGAAUAACUCAAUAAGGCACAUGAGUAAUAUACAACAUAAAUCACAAAGACGAAAUGCAUGAUAUCACAUAACUCAGUAUAAGCAUAUAAGACCCUCCGAUCACACAAUGAUUACCACUCAAGUAAGUAUAGUGAGAAGAAUCACCUCGCGGAGUAGAGCAAUAUACCCCACACUCGAAUUGUUGGUCUAGACUCUGCAUACACAUAUCACAAUCAUAUCUACUUAACAAUUAUAUAAAACGUUAAGCUAACUCCUCUACUAAAUCUCCGAAAAGGGGGAAAGACCAUUUACCCCUCCAUGCUCUCCAAAGUCCACAACUUGACCCAACCCUUGUUACACCCCUAAACCGGAAUGACGGAAACGUUCCGGGGCGGAGGACGUCAUGUCAAGUAUCACAACACAUGCAUUAUAGUAAUCAAAGUACAACAACCAUUGCAUUAACAAUGUAUAUGUUUUUACAUAAGUAUUCAUACAUUAGAUAUUCAACAUCAAAAGUAGAUACAGUAAAAGAGAAACGACACAACAAGGCACUAGGCUGUCAUCUCAAAAGCUCCUGGAGUAUACCUGUCUACUGGAUACCUUGAGAAUACAAGUUAUUUGAAAGAGAGGAUCAGUAUUUAAGCUGGUGAGUUCAUAAGUAUUUUUUUUAUAAAAAGUUCUCGUGUUCCUCCAGAAAAUCCUAUAUUUUCUGAUGUGAUAGAAUGAUAACCACAAUAGUUCCUUCUACAAUCACUUAGUUUAUACUAAUUAUAUAUAACCUAAUAUCGAAUGGACAGUUAAAUGUGCGAAUCUGCCCUAAGUCCACAACCAAACAAGAAACAGGAAGUAAGGCGAAAAUCACACAUUCCACUGCCUGUUGGAUAUUAUUUAUAUAUAAUUUUGAUGUAUAAACUAAGGAAUUAUAGAAUGAAUCACUAAAGGUCGUUUAUGUUAUACUAGUUUUAAGAAAGUGACUGAUUACGUUCCAGAAAAUCCUAUAUUUUCUGUUUUACAACUGAAAAGUAAUUUUCAUUCCAUAAAAUCGUUAUGUUUAAGUAUUAUUGUACUUAUAAUAAAGUUUAACAUAAUUUUAACUAUCCAUAAAAUUAUAAGAAGAAUGUCUUCCGUUUUGUUGGUAAAAAGUAGUUUUAAUCCCAUAAAACCGUUCUGUAAGUAGUUUUAAAUCCCAUAAAACCGUUCUAUAAACUAGUUUUAUAUCCCAUAAAACCAUUCUGUUUUGUUUGUGGAAAGUUAUUAAUACAGUAGUAUUUCUUAAAAAUAAGCUAUUGGUGAAUAACUACCCUAUUAUUAGACUGAUUAAUUAGGGUUAAAAUGUGACAAAGUUGUAACCAUGCUGAUAGACUAGAAUAUACACGACAACCUUCUUGUGUCAAAAUUGAAUAUAUGACAUUUGUCACCCCUAGGCCUGCCGGCCAAACUGUAGCUAACAGUCGGGAUUGUUGGUCCCGUAUAAAUCUAUACACAUAAUGUCCGCUCUCCCUCCAGGAGACUCUGGUUACAAUAAUGUAACAUAGCAAGUAUAUUGCUAUGUCCUAAAGACUUACCAUCACAUUUUAAUUUGAGUAACGAUCGAAUUAUAGAUUUUUCUUGACAAAGUAGUUGAGAUCUCGUAUACUUAUCUAUAAAUUAGCUUUCUCGUUUGUUUCAUAAAUUAUACCUAUUAUAAUUUAUACAUUCGAUCUGAUUAGCAAGAUCUCUCAUGAGUGUACUCCUUUACUCAACGUAAUACAAAGGUAAUGAUACUAACUGAAAUAACAUUUUAUAUUCAUAUAAGUAUAAUAUAUAUAAUUAAGAAGGAAACGAACUUCGGACAAAUAAUACCACCUUAAGCCCACAUCCAAACAAGGAAAAGGAAAUAAGGUAAUUCAUUACUCCUAAGCCCUUAAGUCUUAUUUAUAUACCUAUACGUAUACAAACAUGAUUUUGACAAUUAUAUGUUGAAGAUUUAUAAAAAGAGUUAUAAAAACAUUUAAAAGAGUUUAACGGUAUUCUAAAAAGAGUUUAGCUGACUUUUAAAAGAGUUAACAUGACUUUAAGUCAUUAUGGAUGUAUUUGGAAUCCUUUAUUGUAAAAGUAAUAAUUUAAAGCAUAAGGAAUUAUUUUAUGCGAUUGAUAUCACAUAUAAUUAUUAACACAAUUAAAUUGUGUUCAACUUGUAUUCCCACCCCCUCCCUUAAAAGCAUUUAAAACCAUUUAAAAAGUAGAUUAUAAGGGUAUGAACUCAUCUUAUGUUGGUGAUUCGAUUGAAGAUAUGAUAUAGGAUGAUAAGUUUCCCAAAUGAAGUCCCCAAGCACAAAGGAGUCCUAAAUGACAUAUGAUGAUACAUAUAGGCAUGAAAUUAGUGAAUCUAACCAGAAAGGUGUUUAGCAUACAACCUAGGAUGAAAGAAUAACUCACCAAAGGAGUGUUAUAAUCAAGUUAGUUGGCGGAAAUGGAGUUCACGGCCCUAUGGAGUGAUCAUGACCAAAGAACACAUGACUGUUCAUGGCCCAAGUUGAAGGGUUCACGGCCCUAUGAAUGGUUCAUGACCCAAGACCAUGAAGAACACUUGAAGAUUUUGGUGUUUAGCAAGUGCUUGAAGGCCCUUUGUUGUAUUCCAAGAAGAUACAAAAGAAAAGUGGUGUUUAAGGGAAGAAAAGAGUGUUUCUUGAGGAUGAUACUUUAGAGAGAAUGGGAGGAUCAUGGAUAGAAGAAGAGAAAUGAAUCUAUAUAAUAUAUAUAAGGGAUAGUUCACGGCCUAAGGAGGGUUGACGGUCGUGAACAUGGCCCGAGGUGAUAAGCCUUCUAGAAACGGCCUCAUAGUUGAUGGCUCCUAAGCGAUAUCACGGCUAAGGGAAGUUCACUGUCCGAGGUGUUCACGGUUGAAGCCUCAUUCACGGUUGUGAACCUCGUUCAAGGUCCGAGGUUUUUGCCUCGUAUGGGUUCCUGGAACACCCGAAAUCAAAAAGGUCAAGAAAGGAAUGGAAAAACCCUAAAUUAAAGAGGGUUGACUCGGCGAGUCUAGGGAGGAACUCGGUGAGUCGGAGUGGGAUCCGGGUGUAAAGUAAGUGACCGACUCGGCGAGUCAGCAAGUGGACUCAGUGAGUUCUGUCUGGGUUGGGAAACCCUAAUUUCGGCACUUGGUACCCUAUUUAAGCAUCUUAUUCUCUUCCCUAUGGCUCAUUUGCGGCCCCUAUAGUCCAGAACCCGAAACCCUAAGCCUCCAUUGUUGCUCAUUCAAGCUUCCAAGCCAUUUUUGGGUGAUUUGAAGGAAGAAGAAAGAGGGAAAUCAAGGAAGCUUCAAGGAUUGGUCUUAGAUCUGGAGUUUAUGGAACCUUUCUGAGUUAUUAAAGGUACAAAGUCGUUUCCAUCAUUUAGAUCUAUUCUAGUUGUGAGAUUUGGGGCUUUUUGAGCAAGUUUAUGAACCAUUUCGAGUUAGAAGCCCAGAUCUGAAAUUGCUACUUCAGAUCUAAGUAUAUCAUGGCCUAGAGAAUCAUAAAGCAUCAGUCUAUGGGUUAUUGUUAAGCCCCUUUGUCUUAAACACUAGUUCAUGGUGUAUUUAGCCUAGAUCUCCUUAGCUACACGUAAAGUUUGCCAUUUUACGUAAGGAAUAGGCUUUAGAAGAGUGGAUCUAUAGUUUGGAGUGCAUGCAUGACUCAAAAGCCUCUGAAUAUAUGAAAGACUGAAUAGACUCGGCGAGUCCUUAGAGUGGACUCGGCGAGUAGUAUGAAGAUGGAGAUGAAAUCGACGAGUUGGAUGAACAACUCGGUGAGUCUGUCGAAGAUUGCCUCGGACUCGGCGACUUUGCUCUUGGACUCGGCGAGUCAAGUCGCGAAACCCCAAACCCUUCGAGUUAAGACUCGGAUCAGUGAGUUGAGUGGGGACUCAGUGAGUUGGUCAGGUCAGGACUCGGAAAUCGAUAGACUCGGCGAGUCAGGGGCUGACUCGGCGAGUCGAGUCGCGAAUGAAUGGAUUCUGAGCGUAUGAACUUAGCAAGUCAGUAGGAAGACUCGACGAGUAGGGUUGACCAGGAUUUUGACUUUGAUCAGAAUUGAAUUAGUUGACUUUUAGAGGACUGUCAGACUAAGUGUCAUAUUAAUAUUGGUAGCUCGGAGAGCUAGAGGAGCAGCGGCUCAGAGGAUUGUCGGUUAGCAGCCAGAGGAUUAUCGGCAGAGCUCAGCAGUUCAAGUGAGUUUCCUUCCAGUAGGAAUGGGUCUACGGCCACAAUACCGUCCCGAUUAGUUAGCAGUAGUUUCAGGACUUCGGUCCGAUGCAGUAGUUAGUAUGUUUGAUGCCUUUGUGGCUCAGACAGGAUUUAUGUGUGAUGAGUUGAAUAACUCUUUGAUCGUUUAGAUCUUUAAACAGGUUAAUCAUGAAAAGGUAAAACAUAAAUAUCAAGCACAAGAGUGAAUCAAAAUAUGUCGAAUGAUUCAAUAGAUUCAAGCCUCAGCAGAGCUUGACAAAGAACUUCCACUGUAGAGGCUACUAGGGGUACAAACGAUAAAAAUAAUAUCUAUGAAUGAUUGACUUCAAAUCUUACAUACUAAGAUGCAUGCAAGCAUCAAUAAAUACUAAACCCUAGAGCAUAAAUCACCGAUGGACAAGCCCAAUCCGGAAACAAAAUUGGACUAAGAACGAGCCCAAGACGCAACAUAUAAUGGAUCCUACAAUCUCCCCCUUUGCGUCAAUUUGAGUGAGAUUCUACUUCGGCUUGCUGGGUCCAACUGCAGGAACUUUCUUUGUGGUUUCGAACAGACGAGGAAUAAGGGCAAGGAUGGUUUGUCUGAAGCGAAUGUACUACUGGAUCAUAUCAUCGAAUUAUUUCUUGUCAUUAUCAGAAUUCUGCUUGCAUCGAUUGAUGAUCCCCAGAACAUAUUCCCAGCAUGCAGUGGUGUAUAGAUGCUUGUCUGCCAAGGCAAACAGGCAUUUUUGGCCUUCUUUCCUUGUGAACAUGACUGAGUUCCGUUUUGGGUCGAUCCUCCCCAUCUUCAUUUUAUUCAGAUCGCUUGCAGAGCCAACUGGAGAGAUGGUGGGCUUUUUCUUGAAAAUACUUGCGAUCUCCUGAUCCAUCUUGGCGACCUCCAUGAUGUAGCAAACUAACAUCCUUUUGAAGUGAUCUAUGAUUGGCNUCAGCUUCGUGGUGAGGAGGAUGUUGUGCAAGAUGAUCCAAUCAUGUGGAUUCAGGUUGGGAAGAUCAGCAAGUGAAAUAGCAUGUUCUGUUUUAGCAGACCCCCUCAACACUUUGAACCGAACGUUUGUGAAGUUCCCCUCCCGAAAAGGUUUGAGGACCCGAAUGUUUAUGAUCUUCUCAGCACUCCACGUCUGAUAUUGAGGCUGAGCAGACCUCAUAUAGAAUUCAACAAGCUCCCUAUCAACCUUUGGGUGAGGAUGAGGGACAUCAGCAACGUGGGAGAAUGCAUGAAAUAUGAAGGCCUUUCGGGUCAAGGGCAUAUCAAACUGAGAGUCGACAGAAUUGACCCUGUCCAAGGAAAUCACCGGUUCGAGCCAUAGGAUGCUGGGAGUAUCAAUAGCUUCUUUGAUAAGCUUCACGAGUGUCCACGGAGGAAAUAGAGUUUUUCAACUCUCAAGAAGAUCAUGAGCCUCCAUUUUUCUUUCGUUCGCCUCAGCCUUUCUGGCAACGCGAGCACUCAUGACUGCAUCCUUUUCCAAGCCUUGUUUCUUCAAGAGAUCAGCGAUGGUCUCUUUAUCAUCAUCACCAUCACUGUCUUCAAUAAUCUUCUUCCCUUUAUCUUUAGCACCCGAACCUGAAGGUUGACCCGUUGGAGGAGGUUCGGUUGCUUUAGUUGAUGUAGAAGUAGGAGGCGGUUGACACACAUCUUCUCCACCUUGUUUUGGAUGGCCCACGAACUCAGGAAGCCCUUCAAUUUUGCUAAGUAGGUCAAGGGCGGGAGCAAGCUUCUCAGCUAGAGUGCGCCUCACAGAAUAGUUCAGGAUGGGAUCAUGCACUUCAAUAAUGUUGGAGAGGACGACGUGGACAUCCGAAACAUACGUGGAAAUGACCGCUCGCUUAGAUCGGAGAGACGCAACCUCCUUUUCUAAUUGGAAAAGUUGAAGACUCUGGACCUAUAGAGCAGUGGUUUUGCGAGCAAGAGCAUCCAUCACGGAGUUUUCUGAAGCGAGAUCUUCUUGCAGCUUUGUCAAGCGCUCCUCAACAGUCGCCUGGAAGGUUUUAUUGUCAACCUCAACAGACUGACAAAGACUGGCGAAGAAUUGUUGUUCUGAUGUGAAUGAAGUCGCCAGCUUUUCGACAAGAGAGUCAACAUUCGCUACAUUGGAAUCAGCGGCUCCCUGUAAAGACUGUAAAAGAUUGUUAGCAUUGACAAAUAGUUUUUCGACUUUUUCGGUCGCAACAGCACACGCCUUUGUAGAUGCGUCGAUAGCAGCAGUGGCAAAGUUGAUUGAGGCUUCAUGUGCCUUUGUGAACGAAUCAACUAGCCCCUGAAUGGCAGCCUCUAAGAUAGUGGACCGAGAGGAUGAGGAGGAAGCGAUGAGACUGUCGAUUUUCUCAUGAAGUUCCUUGAGAUGCUUUUUAGUGACAGGAGCAUCAUCGUCAUCAUCACUUUGAACCUGGUACGGACUAUAGUAGACAGAUUCAAAAGUCAUGUCUUUUCCUCCAAGAAAAGUCUCGUCAUCUGCUGAGUGAUUGGGAGAUGAAGGCGAAGGUGGAGGUUCGGUUGUGGGAGUAUGUUCGGGGGUGGAAGUAUGUUCAGUAGCAGGUGUGUGUUUGGGUGCUGAAGUAUGAGCCCCCGUAUCAGAUACGUUGGUUCGAACUCCAGUGGUGGUUGUUGUCGUGGCUUCUGAGAAAAUAGGAGGUGGUACAGUGAUAGAGGUGGGUGGUAUAUGAGUAGUGGAUGUUAUGGGGGGAAUGGAAAUAGAGAUGGAGAUUGGGGGAGGAGAGACAGGUUUAGAUGAAACGCGUACCUCAGGUGAAGGCGAACGGGGAGGAGUGUUACCUCUAAGUGACUCCUCUGAGUCUAAACUCUCAUCCUCUGAUUCACUGGAGGAAGAGGAAAGAAUGAGUUUGCGCCUGGGUUGGGUUUUCCUCUUCUUUGGUGGAGGUGAUUGAGUUGCCUUCGAAGGUUUUCGCUUCUUUGGAGAAGGACCUUUCGCUCCUUUGACAACUUUCUUGUCUUUCCCCUUUUCUGGUUUCUUGCCCCUGGGAUCAGGCUUGUCAGUGUCGUGGAUAGAUUGAAUCAUUUCUGGAGUGAGCACUUUGGGGCCUGAACGAAGAAACUCCUUGUAAGUCUUGAUGAUGCGACUAUCCCUUGGAACACACGCAUACAUUGACUCAGGGAUUGAGCCAAUGAACUGAAACUUGGAAGAAUCAGUCACGAUGAUCUUCGUUGUGUGGAAAACACCGAUCGAGGAGAGUGGAGAAUCAGCAAUGACAGGGACAUGAUACUUGUCCAUUACCCACUUUGUGACCAGUGUCCAGAAUCUGGCAUAAGAAAUCUUAGAAUGGCGAGAAGUAGAGGCAAGACUUUGGAUCAACUGCUGCCAUAACACAGAGCCAUAGUCAAUAUUCAGGCCGUGAUAUAACCCGUAGAGAAUCGUCAUAAACACACGGCUAGCCCCGUCAGAACCUGGACUUCUUUCUGACAAACCCUUGAACAGCACCGUGAAGAAGCCAUUCCACUGUGGAGGAACACAGGAUUUCUUGAACUUUGUGACCGUAGUUAGAAUCUCAGUGUAUCCCAUGUUGUAAAACAUGGAGAACAACUGUCCCACAGGAAUAGACUCAGGGUUAACCCUUGACUCAUCAGGUUUAAACCCUAGAAGCGAACAUAAUCGCUGUUUGGAGAUGGAGGUUUUGGUAUCAAGAAUGUCGAAGAAAAUGCGAUCGACAGACUUGUCAUAGUGGGCAGUUGAGAAGAUCUGCGACAAACACUCCAUUGGAACGAUUUCAACCUUGGUUAAUGUUAGAACCAAUGGAGAGUGUUUGAGACACUCCACAAUUGGGAACAUGAAGGCGUCGUAGGCAUGUGGGGUGAGAUCAAUGACCAGGCUUUGCUGAGGUCGGAUAGGCAGAAUGUGGGAGGUUGCGUGAACAGAAGAAGAAUCCGCCAUUGAAGAGUGUUUUGGAGAAGAAGAUGAACAGUGGGAGAAAAUAAUCGUUUCUUGCUCUCUGAAUUUUGGGUGAAGUAAAGAGGUAAAAGACCUUAUGGUUUACCCUUUAUACCGUGGGUUAGAGGAGAGAGAAGAAUCCGCCCCCAAAUCUUCUUGAAAAUCGAAUCGUUUCCUAAGUUGAUUGACGCGUGACAGUUUAGCAACCCUAUGAUUACGCAUGAGAGAGAAAAACUCUUCCGUUUUGCACGCUUUCCCAUCAAAUGCCCUUUUGAAUUCCUUAACCGAUAAUCUCCCGGCUGAGUCAGCAGUUUAUCCUUAAAAUUAGCUGUCUUCACUAAAUAAAAGCGAACACAUGUAGCAUUAACAACAACAUCCUGUUUAGAAUAUAGCAUUAAAUCCCGACACCAAAAAAAAAAGCUUGUAAUGAAGGAAACCAGAUUUUUGGAAAAUCAAAAAGAUUUUCGUGCAUAGAGUGUCAAAGAUAAAGAAAUAAAGCAACAUAUAUGUGGGAAUAUGUGAUGUCAAUUGAGACAGAAAACUAUGGAUCCCCGGCACGAAUCUCUUCCUUCAAAGUCAAGAGAGACCUUAAAGUGUUUGUGUGGUUUCCCGUUGAAUUACGAUCAAUCACUAGUUAAGAAGUGUUGAAAGGCAUCUUUUAAUAAGGCUUAUUUGGGAGGCUUUCGCUUCAGUUCUGAAUUCCUGAUCUUGACAUAAGACAGAAAUCGACUGAAGAACUUGUGAGACUAAUGUGGUCUAUUGAACAAAUAGGUUUGGAUAAUGUGUUAGUGACUAGUUGGAAAUACUAGCUGUGAAAUCUCAAGAAAAUUAAAAACGGGAUUCUAUGGGAAGAAAUGUUAUGGUAUGUAACAAUUUCAUAAGAAUCACACAGAGAGAAAAUUAGAGAUUUCAUGGUACAACCACUUGGAUGGAUUCGUUAAUUCAUGAGUGAAAACUAGAGCAAAUUUAAUUGUUCACCGUCAAUGCAUAGUAGGUAUUGAAUUGUGGGUUUCACUUAGCACGUAGUGACACGAAGCUAAGAUCACAAACACAGAGAUUGUGUAAUCAUAAACCUCGGUGGUAAUUUCUGAGAGUCUCAAGGGUUACUUGUAUGAAGUGAAUAUGAUGGAGAAAAAUAUUUGUGGUGGUAUAAAGAAACCAAAGUACCUCUGUUAUAAAAAUAGUGACCAAUCAGAAAAACUCUUAACUCAUAUGAGAAAAGAGUAAGGUAGCUCAUGAUUAGAAUAAAUGUAUCAGCCUAAUUGGGAAGACAAGGUUUGUAUAUACCAAGUCAGUAAGGCUUUAUUCAGAAUCAGUUGAGGCUUUGGAGAACAUGCAACAACAUGCUUCUAGGGACACUUAGCUAUUAAAAAGUGUGAGAAUGAUAACUGUCCCAUCGAUAAUCCAUAAACGGUGAAUACAAACAGAAGUAGAGACAAAAAGAAAAAGAAAAUAUAUUUGAAGUUUUUGAUAAUUUGGUAAAAAAAACCAAAUAGAAAAAAAAAAUUUGGAACCGAACUCGAAAUGGACAGAACGCUCGGUUCAUUUCGGUUCAAAAAAAAUUUGGAAUUAAAAAUUUUGGAAAACAAUUGUACAAAAUUUUACAACCAAAGAAACCACCUUUUUGAGAUAAGCGAAAACAAGUGCAAUGGGACCGAACCCGAAAUAGACCGAGCGUUCGGUUCAUUUCGGUUCCCAUGUGAACCGAACCCGAAAUAGACCGAAUGUUCGGUUCAUUUCGCUUCCAACUUUUAGUUUUGAGAAGGUGUUUUUGGUACUGACUCUGAUUCCAUCAUACCUAGUCCUUGUAGAAUUUUAUUAAAACUUGCUUCAGGAAGGGAUUUGGUGAAGAUGUCAGCCAGUUGAUCAGUGGUUCGAACAAAGUGAAUCUCUACGUUUCCGUCUUCCACAUGAUCCUUAAUAAAGUGAUACCGCAAUGCAAUAGGUUUGGUAUUGGAGUGUUGCACCGGGUUAUGACAAAUCCUGAUUGCACUUUCUGAGUCGCAAUAUAGAGGGAUCUUUUUUAUAUUGAGUCCAUAGUCCCGGAGUUGGCUUUGGAUCCAAAUCACUUGAGAUGUGCAGGAGGCAGCUGCAAUGUACUCUGACUCGGCUGUAGACAGAGAAACACAUGUUUGUUUCUUAGAUUGCCAGCUCACCAACUUUUCGUCGAGGAAUUGACAGGCUCCUGUAGUGCUUUUCCUGUGUAAACCACAUCCUCCAAGGUCUGCAUCUGAGUAGGCUUGAACAAAGAAACCUGAGUUUGAGGGAUACCAGUGACCGAGAGAGGUGGUUCGCUUCAAAUACCGGAGUAUAUUCUUCACUGCCAGCAUGUGUGGUUCACGAGGAUUUGCUUGAAACCUAGCACAAUAGCACACAUAAAACAUUAUAUCAGGCCUGCUAGCUGUGACGUACAUCAGGGAACCAAUCAUUUGGCGAUAUAGCAUUAUGUCAACUGCCGGUUUUUCCAAAGAUGGUGUGAGCUUGGUACCGAACGCCAUAGGGAAUUUGAACUUUGAAUCUCCCAUCAUGCCGAAUUUAGGAAGAAGUGUCUUGGUAUAUGCUUCCUUGUUUAUAAAGAUGCCUUCGGGUCCCUGUCUAAUAUUUAAACCAAGGAAAAAGUCAAUCGGACCCAUUUAGCUCAUUUCAAAUUUUGUCUCCAUCAACUUUCUGAAUUCAGCUGUUAGGCUAGGAUUCGUGGAGCCGGAGAUGAUAUCAUCGACAUAGAUUUGGACGAUCAUAUGGUGGUUACCUUCCUUUUUACGAAAGAAGGUUGGGUCAACCAAACCUUGUUUGAAUUUAGACAUCUUUAAAAACUUAGUUAGUGUGUCAUACCAGGCCCUAGGUGCUUGUUUCAGAUCGUAAAUUGCCUUAUCUAAGAUGUAACAGUGAUUUGGAUAUUUUUCAUUCAUGAAACCAGGAGGUUGCUCCACGUACACAGUUUCUUCAAGUUCCCCAUUCAGAAAAGCGCACUUCACAUCCAUUUGGUAGACCUCGAAAUGCUUGUGUGCAGCAUAGGCAAGAAAUAUUCGAACAGAUUCCAGCCUUGCUACUAGAGCAAAUGUCUCUUCGUAAUGAAUUCCUUCUUCCUGGCAGUAUCCUUUUACCACUAGCCGAGCCUUAUUCCGGAUUACAUUCCCCUCCUUGUCCAUUUUGUUCCUGAACACCCACUUGAGACCGACAACCAAGGCAUCUUUUGGUGUUGGAAUGAGUCUUUAGACUUUAUUUCUUUCAAACUCAUUGAGUUUGUCUUGCAUUGCCUGGACCCAAUCAGAAUGAUCAAGGGCAAUAUUGAUGGUCUUCGGCUCGAUUUUGGACACGAAAGAAUUAAACAUGCAGAACUCUACUUUGGAGAAUAAAGCAGUUUGUUUCGCCUUCAGUUGUGAACGAGUUAGAACUUUCUCUGAUGCGUCACCCACUAUUUGAGAUACAUGAUGAUCUCUGGUCCAUUUGGUGAGAGGAGGAUAGUUUGGAUUAUAGGAUGGAUCCAAUUCAGCAUUUAUCAUUUCUUCCAACUCUGAUUGAAUAUCAUCGUCAUAUAGCAUAUCGGAAUUCUCCCCCUCGACAGAUGAUGAGCCAAGAAAUCUUUCUUCAACUGGGCUUUCGGGUUGAUCCAGGCUUUCGGUUGUCACUAGACUUUCGGGUGUUACUGGACUUUCGGGUGCAGAGGGGCUUUCGGGUGCAACAGGAAUUUCGGGUGCAUAGGGGCUUUCGGGUGCGUCAAAAAUUGGAUUCUCCCCCUGAAUAUGUGAGUCCUACUCAUUUGAAGAGGAUAGAUUCUCCCCCUCGACCGAAGUACCGCUCUGGGGAGGUUCUUUUCGAACCGGUUCUUCUGGUCCCAUUCGUUUGGCUGCAUCUUCGACGAUCUUCUUAAGGUGAUCAAUCUUGUUGUCUGCUACCGUGGCUUCAGAGUGAGAUGCUUUCUCAGGCUCAUCAAAUAGAUCCAUGAACUUGUCAAAGAGAUUGGCGAUAGAGGCUGUGACUUGACCUGUUUGAGAGAGAAUCUCUCCUAUUGCUUCUUCAGUGGACUUCAACUUCUUGACGUAAUUGUCAUCAAACGUCACAUAAUAGGUUUCUUCAAUUCUUUUAGAAUGCUUAUUCAAAACCCUGUAAGCCUUUGAAGUAAGAGAGUAUCUCAGGAAGAUACCUUCAUCAGCUUUGACAUCAAACUUGUUGCGAUGUUCUUUGGAGUUGAAUAUGAAGCACCUGGAACCGAACACGUGAAAGAAUUUGACAUUCGGCUUCCUGUUGUUGAUUAUCUCAUAAGGAGUGAGAGAGAAACGCUUGUUGAGAUAAGACCAGUUCUGAGUAAAACACGCUACAGCAAUGACAUCAGCCCAGAAAUAUAAAGGAAGGGAAGCAAAACUUAGCAUCGUUCGGGCCGCCUCACACAGGGAUCAUUUUCGCCUUUCGAUAAUUUCGUUCUGUUGAGGUGUAUAAGGGAACUUUUAGAGUGUGUGAGAGAUCCCUCAACAGCGGUGUGUAAAUUGUUCAGGAAUUGUUAUAUUUUCAGCAUGGUGACAUUACGCGAGUUACCAGUUAGGAGUUCAGGUAUCGGGGAGGGAUCUGGUUGAGGCUCUAGAGCCGGGCAGCUUGAUGAUCAGAUGAGGGAUUUCAUUUCCGCAGAGAUCAUGCACAACAUCAUUGAUCAGACUCCUAUGAUUUUCGGCUCGGUUAGAGAGGCCAUUAUGGAGCGUAUGGACAGUCAUCUUGAGGCCUUUAAGGUCGGGAUAGUUUCAGGACAGAUUGGGGCUCAUCUAGAUCCCGAUUCUUAUGGAGUUCAGGGAUGCAUCAGGGAGGGAGAUCCCAUUUCUAGCUUUUGCCAUCAGGGGACAGAAGUGAGUGGGGCAUCCUGUCUCCAAGAUAGACCUCUAAAUGAAUGGAUAGUUGAGGAGGUUACGCGAGCCAUUCGUGAGGAUCUGACCGACAUGGUCGUGAGGAUCACGGAUAGGUUGAUCGCAAAGCUCUAGGAUCAGACAUUUGUUGUUCAGUCGACGGGCGGUGUCGAUGAGGUAAUGCAGGAGCGAGAGACAGGUAGGGAGUCGGAAAGGAAGAGGAAAACGGAUGAGACUCAGGUAGCCACAUGUUCGGGUAAGAGGCCCAAGGGGUUGGAUUUGAGGACAAAGGACUAUCAGAGCCGCAGUCGAUGCAGGAAGUACGGUAGGACGCACAUGGGUGCGUGCAGGCGUAAAAGUGGUGGAGAUGCUGGAUGUUUCAAGUACGGCCAGAUUGGCCAUUUUAGCAGAGAUUGUAUUGUUACCAUCGCCUAGGAACUUAACCCGAUAUGUUUCCAUUGCAGUCGGAGGGGCCACAAGAAGGCCCACUGUCCGAGUUUGUAUACAGCAGAGCAGGCAAUAGCUCCAGCCCCUGUGACUUGAAGUACCGCCAGCGGUUGCCGGGGCCAGGCAAGGGUGCCCAUGGCUCGGAGCUGAGUUUUCCAGUUGAUUUCAGCAAGGAUUCGAGCAGCGUUGAGUGAUGGAGGUAUGUAUCUUUUCCCUCCUUAUCAAUUAUUAUUCAUGAUAUUAUUGUUAUGUUGCUGCAUUGAUAUCAAUAAGUAUAUGUGUUGGGGUAUUAUAUUACCUGCUUGUGACGCAGUGUUAUGCCAUCUACAUACCUUGGAAUUGAAUGGUGAAUUGGAGGUCGUCCUCUCUAGGGCAGGUUACUUCGGAUACAUGUGGUAAAGAAAUUGGUAAUGUGACUGGUAGGCUAAUUGGCAAAGUGGUUUCAACACUUGUGAUAGGUGCCCCCGUAUCAGAUACGUUGACAACCGUAUCGAAAAUAGGUACCUCCUCAGAAACUGAUUUGGUAGUGACUAUUUCAAGUGGUUGAGUGGAAAUUUGUGAAACAUUUAAAAUGGACACAUGUGGAAGAGAAACGAUUACCAUUGUAGAAACUGGUGGAGUGUUUGGAACCACCUCUUCCUCUGAAGACUCAUUGCGAAUAAUCAACUUUCGCUUCUUCAACAAAGUUUGUUGCAUCUAUUUCGCAAUAUCCUGAGCGCGUUGCCUCUUAGAUCCUGGAGAUAUAGAAGCUGGAAUACUGCAAACCGUCACCCACUUACUGCUCACUUCGGUUUUGCGAAUAUUUUUCAAUACCCCUGAUUUUGAGGGUAUUGUUUCCUUCUUCGACUUUGAUGAGGUUUCCUCUAUCUGAACCUCUUCUUCUUGACUUUGUUUCGAAGAUUGAGCAUUUUCAUCCUUCUUGGUGGCCUUCUUCUUCUUUGGGGUUUUUGCAGUGGCUUCCAAUAAGAUCCCAGUCUCCACAGCUGGAUCAAAAGUCUUCAUGUAGCGUAUCAACACUUUGUGAGUGGAUGAUACUUUGCGAAGCAUCACAUCAGGAAUACGAGCAAUAUGAGAAAAAAUAUUUUCAUGAUCCUCCACCUCCUUUGAAAACUGAUACAUUGAAAAUUCCGCAACCUCAGCAUCUUCUGGAACUGGAAUACCCUCUUUUUCAUACGCCUUUUCCAGAAUAAGCCUCCAAUAUCUGGCACAUGAUACACCUUUCUCAGAAUUGGUGUUUUCCAAACUUUUUACGAACUCCUUCCACAACUGAGUUCCAUAAUCAACAUUAAGAUCAUAGUAUAAGCCCAUCACCUAUCUAAGUGUUCCAUAGCAUCCUUUAUUGUCUUUGGCUCUAUUUUCGAAAUAAAGACAUUAAACAUACACAGUUCUUGGUUCGUAUUCAGUACCUCAUUUUUCGCACGAAUUUGAGCUCUUGUCAACACACCAUCUUUUAGAUUGCCAAUUACCUGUUCUUUGGAUGAUUUCUUGUCCAUUUCUCAAGUGGUGGAUAAUCAGGAUCAAAAUCCAAUGGUGCAUCUUCAUACAUAUCUUCAUUUUCAGAACCUGCAACAGAAAAAUUAUCAUUUAGUUCAUGAAACUCGUCAUUUUCAUCAAGAUUAAUUGUCUCUAUUUCAUCAUGCUCCCCCUCAACAUGAUGUUCAUCUUGAUGCUCCCCCUCAAAAUGAUGAUACUGUUGAAUUUGCGAAUGCUCCCCCUCAACUUGAUGAUUCAUAUUUUCAUUCUCCCCCUCGAAAUUGUGCGGUCUGAGCUCAUUGUUAUUUGUAUGCUCCCCCUCCAUAUGAACUUCAGUAAAACAUUCGCAAGAUUUUGAACUUGUUGUGAUUGUUGAAUCAUCAGUAUGUUUUGAGGAUUCUGAUGUUUGAUUAUCGGGAGCAUUGUUUUCAGCAUUAAUUGCCCUGUCAGGAAUUCCAAAAAUUAAGUCAUAAUCAAAAUCAUUUAUUUCAGACUUAUCAAUUUGUGUAACUGAAUCAACAAGAAUUGAUUUAUUUUCAAAUUUACUAUCCGUUUGUUUGAGAUAGUAAUCAUCAAAAGUUAAGUUGAAAGUUUCUUCAACUUUUCUUGUUCGCUUGUUUAGCACCCUGUAUGCAACUGAAUUUUGCGAAUAUCCUAAGAAUAUGCCUUUAUCAGCUUUAGCUUGGAAAUUUGUCAAAUUGUCUUUGAGAUUAAUUAUAAAACACCUACAACCAAAAACAUGGAAAAAUUUGACAUUAGGUUUUCGAUUGUUGAGUAUUUCAUAUGGAGUGAUAUUGAAUCUACGAUGAAUGAAUGAUCUAUUCUGAGUAAAGCACACAGUUGAAACUGCUUCAGCCCAAAGAUAUUGAGGUAGAUUCACAUAUGUUAACAUGGUUCUGGCUGCUUCGCAUAGAGAUCGAUUUCUUCUUUCAACAACAUCAUUUUGUUGAGGAGUAUAUGGUGAUGAGAAAUUAUGCGAAAUGCCUUUGCCUAUGAGAAAUGAAUCAAGAGUUUGGUUUUUAAACUCAGAACCAGUAUCACUUUUAAUUUUGCAAACAUUCUUUUUAAGCCUAAUCUCAAUCAUUUUGAUAAAAUCAAUCAUCGUCUUAGCAACUUCAGAUUUUAACCUGAGAAAAAAUACCCAUGUGAAUCGUGAAAAAUCAUCAACAAUAACUAAAAUGUACCGCUUUUUAUUGAUUGUAGCAACAGUCGACGGUCCACAUAAGUCAAUGUGAAGAAGUUCCAAUGGUUCUACGAUUUUUGAAUCUAUCAUAAUCGGAUUACCUUUUCUAUGUUGUUUUCCUUGUUCGCAAGCUGCACACAGAGAAUCAUUGUCAAAUUUUAGUACAGGUAAACCUCGAACUAAAUCUUCAGUGACAAGUUUGUUAAUAUUGCGAAAGUUCAAAUGUGACAAUCUUCUAUGCCAAAGCCAGCUGACAUCGUAGAUGCCUUUGAUAGUAAACACACAGCAGGUUUGCCGACGAUUGGUUUGAUGUCCAGUGUAAACAUAUCACCAUAUCUUUUGGAUUUGAGAAGUACUUCAUUUGUUUUCGCAUUUGAAAUGAUACUUCCUUCUUCAUUAAACACAAACUGGUUUCCGGUACCCACAACAAGUUGCGAAACACUAAUCAAGUUAUGUUGAAGUCCUUCUACAUAAGCAACCAUGUUAACAGUGAAUUGUCCAUUUGUGACUUUCCCAUAGCCUUUCACUUGAUACUUGUGAUUGUUUCCAAAUUUGACUACUCCUGCAUUUUCCAAGCUUCGAUAAUCUUGCAAGUUUUCCUUCCUUCCAGUCAUGUGACGAGAGCAACCACUAUCAAUAUACCAUUUCGCAUCAUAUUGCUCGUCACAUAUCACCUGCAUUUAUUGAAAAAUUUUAUGAACCCAAGACUUAUUGGGUCCUCCAUUAGUAUUUUUGAGCAAAUGCUUUGAAUUUAAAAACCGAGUUUUCACUUUGUCUGUGACACUAUCAAUUAUAUCAACAUCACCAGAUCGAUAUAUUGAAAUAUAGUUGUUCAACAAUUUUGGAUUUUCAUUGAGUUUCAUCACAUCUUUCACAACAUUCGCAACUUUGAUAACUGGUUUCCAUUUUUGUACUGGAACUUGCGAAUUUAAGAUGAUGAACUACCAGUGGAAGAGUUAUUUGCAAACUUGUCAAAUGAAUUUUUUAUUUGUUGCUCUGAAAACUUCCCACUUUGAUAUUGUCUUCCUUUCCCUUCAAGCCAACGAUUGAUCAUACCUACCACAUAUUUUCCUUUUGUAUAUGAAACUUUGGUUGGGUUUGAGACUGAUGGAUUUGGAAAAUUUGGUUGUUUAGGAGAAAACUUCAUUUUUGUUUGAGUUGUGACAUUCAAAGAUGAUGAAUCAUUCAUGAAUUUGCCAACUUUUUGAAACUUUUGAUUUUUCACAAAUUUUUGUGAAUUCUCAAAUUUUCGAUUGUUGUCAUAUUUGAGAACAAGUUUAUCAUUAUUUUUCAUUGGAAUCUUGUCAACAGAAUAUAUUGGUUUAUGAAAACUUGUAUCCUUUUGUUUAUUUAUCAUUGGACAUAACUUGCCAAAAAUUCCUUUUCAUGCUUUUCUUUUUGACAAAUUAUUUUCUGUUGAAUAAUUUCCAACCAUCAAUUUAAAUUCAUGAGAAUUUAAUUUCACUUCAACCUUUGGUUUUUCAACUUUUUCAAAAAUUUUGUUUGCUUUUUCACCUUUAAUUACCCAUUUUUAUGAUGAGUUUUGUCUAUGAAGUACAUAAGGAUUUUGAGUUAAAUUGUUUUCUUCUGUGUUUUGAUUUGCGAAAAAACCUUCAAUAGUUGACCUUUGAUUAUCUUUUUCAACCAUUUUGUUGAAUUCAGGGUGAAUUUUCUCCGCAUUUCCAGUAGUAACAAAAACUUAAUUUGGAAAAAUGGUGUUAUCAGUGCAUACAAAAUUUGGAUAUACCACAGUGUUGGUUUCCAAAUAAUGUGCUCCUUUGUCAUUUAAAAUUUUGUCAAAUUCUUUUGUAUUUUCAAACACUUGAUCAACCACAACUCGUGGAGGUAUUUCAUGUGAAUCUUUCACAUCUUCUUUGUUUUCAUCAGUGUCAUCAGAUUUCCAGCUUUCAACUUCCACAUUAUCAAAAUUACAAUGUUACGAAGUAGAGGGUUUUUCAAUGUCAUCUUUGACCAUCGAAUCAACUAUAAUUUCUUUACCUUUGAUCUUAGAUGUGAUAUUAAUGAUUGACAAUUGAGAACAAUCAACCUCUUCUUCCUCUUCAAUCUCACUGAUUUCACUCACAUUAUCUGAAUUGUCAUCAAUAUCAGCAUAAUUGUGUUGAGAAUCAAGAUUUGAGGUUUCAGUUUUCUUUAAGAUUUUCACUUGUUCAUUCUUUGUCAGACUUUCAUUGACAAUACUUACCAACUCAUCAGCAUUCAAAAAUUCAUCAAUUUUGAUAAUACCAUAUGUGAAUCUAUCAUCAAUUAUUUUGUCAAAUUGAGCAAUUGUGUUUUCACAAUCAUAAGACACAACAUCAACUUUUUCAGGAUCAUAUUCAAGAAAAGGUAAAAGUUUCCUAUGUUGUUCUUUGCUAAUUUUAGAUGAAUGAUGUAAAGCAGUUAAUUUUGCAUACAAAUGCUUAGCAGAAUUACAAUAUAUAUUUUUUUUGUGCUAGCGACAACCUAACUUCAUUUCAAAGAUUGUCCCUAUCACAAUUUACAUUUUUGAUUUUCAAUUCAAGUUUGUCUACUCUGCUACGUUUUAUUUCUAACUCUCUUCGUGUAUCAACUAGUUACAUAUUUAAAGUUUGAGCUUCAGUACUAGCAGACACAAUAACAGAAUCAAAAUAAGGAACAGUAUCAUCAAAAGAAGUAAUUUAUGUAUGAUAAGCAGAUAAAGGAAUAUUGAAAGAUUCAAGAAUAGCACGUACCUUGGUGGUCAUUGGUGAUUUGUCUGUGGAUUUGGAUACAAAGCACCUUCCUGAAACAGUCUCUUCGUAAUCUUCUUCAAAACUUGCGAACAUUGCUCCAUGAGUUGGAUGCCUCAUUUCUUCGUCAUCGGAUCCUGAAGACCAUAUCUGAUAUGUUCCACUUUCUUCCUCAUCAGACUCACCCUUUGCAAAAAGUGACAUUCCUUUUGUCUUCGCACGCAACUCUUCAAUCUUUUCUAAAUAGUAAGCUUCAUCUUUCACUUUGUUCUUUUACUCUUUUUUCUUUCACAACAUGCAAUCAGCUGCGAAGUGAUUCACACCAUUGCAGUAAUAACAAUAGAUUCCAGAAUCACCUUUCAGUUUCUUCAUAUCUUUAUCAUCUUUUUUGCUUUUCAUCAACUUUUUCCAUUUUCUGCUUCUCCUCUCCUCUAGCUUUUGAGACUCCACUCUUCGCAUCAUUUGCCUUUCCUUUUGGAUUAAAAGGCUUUUUGAAAAACUUCUUAACUCUGUUGUUUGAGUAGAAUUCCACAGCUUCAUCAUCUGAGUUCAUUAAGAAGCCUUCAUUGUCUGAACCAUCUAUUUCACUAAUUUCAACUUCUAAUACCUUUGAAACAAGAGCCAAAGGUCCUCCUAUACUUUGUUUUGAUUCUUCAUACAUAUCUGAAACUUCACUUUCAUGUGUUUUCAGCUGAUUGUAGAGAUCAUUCAAGCUAGUUGUAUCAAAACUCUGUUGAUUCUUAAUCAUCAUACUCACACUUCACCAUUCCAUGCGAAGGCCCAUGAUGAAAGUUAAAUUGAACUCCAUGAGAGACCUAGUGAUUCCAUACCUAUUGCAGUGAAACACAAGCUCAUUCAGAUGAUCAUAGUAAUUUUCAAGAGUUUCAACAUCCUUUUGUCUGAAUUCCUUCAGUUCAACUAGACAUUGCUUCACAUAGUUGAUCUUCGUCUUUUCGCUACCUUGAUACUUCUCUUUUAGAGUGUUCCAAAUCUCCUUGGCUGUUUUACAACUACGGAUGUAAUUAUAAACCACAGGAGGAAGAGCACCUCUUAGUUCCCUCAUGCAUCUCUUUUCAUUCUUCUUCAGACGGUUUUGUUGUUCAGCAACUUCAGCAGAAGUAAUAGACGGUCCAAUUGGUUGAACAUUAGCAGGAGCUUGCACUGUUCCAUCAAUACAAUUCCAAAUUUCUUCAUCAAUUCCAUUUAAGUAAUCCUCCAUUCUAUAAGCCCACUGAUCAUAGUAUUCAGGGAUUAACGUCGGAAUUUUGGUUGAGGAACCAAGCAAGUGAGAGAAAGAAGUCAUUGUAUUCAUGUUGAAGUUCGUCAUUGAUGAACACAGAAAUUUUUAGAAAGCUUGAAGAACUUGAUGAAUUUCAGAAUUGAUCAACUGAAUUGAUCAAAAAUUGCUAAUCAAUCACUCGACUAAACAAUUCAAAGGCAGAAUCAAUUCAAAUCUGAAGAUCAAAUAUGAUUUUCAAAACCAAAAUGCGCGGAAAAUUUUGAGUAAAGUUACUACUCAAAAAGCAAAUGAUUUUAACACGAAAAUCAGAUCGAUGCAGUUUGAAUCUUACUCUGAUACCAAUUGAUGAAAAUUGUUAUCGAGAUUAUGAAAGCAAUUAAGAUUGAAUCAAUGAAAAGUAAGAACACAAAGAGUAAAUAUUAAUCAGAUCUUAUAUUGAUGAAGAGUGAUUACAAUACUUUUAAGCAUAAAGAAUACUCGAGAGCAAAAGUCCUUUCUACUUCUAUCCUCAGUCCCUAUUUAUAGGAAACCUGAGUGUACAAAAAAUAUACUAAGUCUAUUACAAUACGCUUCACAUAAAACUGACUUAGUAAAAUAACUAAAAAUGCGAAACUAAACAAACAAACAUUUCGACUUUUACAAUUCAACCUCUACAGUAUGUGUAAGAUUCAGUAGUGCCUCAAUACUUGCGAAGGUGUUAGUCGGGUAAUGAUCAGUUAUAUUCUCAGCAGUGACAAUCCAGAGUUUCUAGUGGAGUAGCUAGUGGUCGGUAAGGAAGUGGGUUAGAGAUGUUCACCCUAACCGCAGGCUUUCGGGAUGCAGUCAUUAAAACAAGUACAGUUAAGGAUUGAAGGGUGCUCGGUUAGUUAGCAAGAAUGGUUCGGAUCUGGUAAAAGUUAGCUGGAGCGCCAGCAGAGAUAAACGUUGGCGGGCAACAGAUUGCCCUUUUAAUGGAAGAAGGUUGGGGAAUCCUUUCGACUAGUGAUUCGUAAGGAGUUAGCCGAAUCCAAGUGGGGGAGAACCCUCCGAGUAUACAAGGAAAAGAGCACGUAGACCCAGAAUGAGUACGCGACCUCAGAGAAGAAAAGAUAGUAGUGCAGUGAUUGAUGGAUUGAGAAGUUCAGAAUUGGGAGUUUGAGGAACUUCCCAACAGUUAGUUCAUGUAAUCGAGAAGGUUAGAAGCUGGUUGGGAAUGCAGGAUUGGAGGACCGCCUGUAGGGCUCUAGUUAGUCGGAAUGAGGAUCUUGAGAACGGUUAGCAAGAGAUGCUUUUGUGUUAGUAGCCAGUGGUAGAGACAGAAUGCAGGGUUGUGUAGAUUUAAGAGUUAGGAGUUUGGAAACUUCCCAACAAUAGUUUCAUGUAGCCGUAUUAGUAGAUGGUUGGUUUGGGAACCAAGCCGAAGAAUUCCUCAACAAAACGCUAAGUAUAUCAAGGAUAUAAGAUGUCAAGGUUUUGAUGCAAUAUUCAAUGAUUGAGGGCUGGUUUUGAGAAAUCAGGAUGAGGAAUUACUAGCAGGACUAGGGAUAGUCAGGAUGUCCUCAACUAUUAGUGUAGUAUUGUAAGUCUACGGGGGUAGCCGUAACAUUCACUAGCAGUCAGAUAGUAGUAGUAGUGUUGUAAGUCUGCAGGGGUAGUUGUAGCACUCACUAGCAGUCAGAUAGUAGUACAGUGUUGUAAGUCUGCGGGAGUAGCCGUAGCAUUCACUAGCAGUCAGAUAGUAGUAGUAGUGUUGUAAGUCUGCAGGGGUAGUUGUAGCACUCACUAGCAGUCAGAUAGUAGUACAGUGUUGUAAGUCUGCGGGAGUAGCCGUAGCAUUCACUAGCAGUCAGAUAGUAGUAUAGUGUUGUAAGUCUACGGAUGUAGCCGUAGCAUUCGUCAGGUUAGUAGAUAGCAUGAGCGUGCUGUUUGGACGCAGGGGAAACAGUAGUACCCAUUAGUUCGGGUGCAUCAGUGAAGAUAUGGGAAUCCACGGGUUAGAUUUUAGAUUUCCCAAAUGAUUCAGUUAUGGUUAAGCCAGCGUGAUAAGAUAUUAAAUAAACUUGAAGAUCGAUUAGAUCUUUGUAACAGGUAGUGAGAAGAACAUAAAACAAUAAAUAAGACAAGAUUGAAUCACAAUGUGUCGAAUGAUUAAUUCAAACAAUCCUCAGCAGAGCUCGACUAAGAACUUCCGCUGUAGAGGAUUUAGGGUUACAAGAACGAUAAUUAAAACUUUUGAAUAAUUCUCUGAUCUAUCGUUACUAUCGUUUUUCUAAGAUGCAUGCAAGCACCUAUAUUUAUAAUAAACCCUACUAUACUCACGGAUGGACAGGCCCAUACCGGAGAUACAAAAACAGAAUAGCUAACAAGCCCAAUAGACGCAACACUUAAUACAAAACACGACCCAACAAUCUCCCCCUUUGCGUCAAAUUGGAGCGAGACUACUUCUUCUUCGGGCCAGCAGCGGGUGUCUUCUUUACAGUAUCAAACAAAUGUGUGAUAAGAGCGAGAAUAGUCUGUCUGAACCGAAUGUACCAUUGUAUUAUGUCAUCGAAGUACUUGACAUCAUCCGCUGAGUUUUGCUUGCAUCUGUGGAUGAUCCCCAAAACAUGCUCUAAGCAAGCAGUAGUGUACAGAUGUUUGUCAGCCAAGGCAAAAAGACAUUUCUGUCCUUCGUUCCUGGUGAACAUGACUGAAUUCCUUCUUGAGUCAAUUCUACCCAUCUGCAUUUGGUUCAGAUCACUGGCAGAGCCAACAGGAGAUAUUUUUGGUUUCUUCUUAAAUACGCUUGCUAUCUCCUGAUCCAUCAGCGCAACUUCCAUGAUGUAGCACACCAGCAUCCUCUUGAGAUGGUCGAUGAUCGGACCAUAUUCAGCUUCGUUGGUGAGAAGGAUGUUGUGCAAGAUUAUCCAAUCAUGGGGAUUGAGGUUCGGAAGAUCUGCAAGAGAAAUGGCAUGUUCGGUUUUGGCAGAUCCCCGAAGUACCUUGAACCGAAUGUUAAUGAAGUUCCCUUCAGUAUACGGCUUCAAGACCCGAACGUUGAUAAUCUUCUGAGCGCUCCAAGUCUGAUACUGAGGUUGAGCAGCCUUCAGAUAGAAAUCGAUUAAGUCCCGAUCAACCUGUGGAUGAGGAUGAGGGAACUCUGCAACGUUGGAGAAGGCAUGAAAGAUGAACGCCUUUCGGGUCAGUGGCAUGUCAAACUGAGAGUCGAUAGUAUUGGAACAAUCAAAAGAGAUUACAGGUUCCAGCCACAAGAUACUCGGUGUGGCGAUGGCUUCUUUUAUCAUCCUCUUGAGGGUCCAAGUAGGAAAAAUAGUUUUCCUACUCUCAAGAAGGUCGUGGGCUUCCUUCUGUUUUCGUUCAGCUUCUUCAGCCUCUUUUGCCACACGAGCACUGACAUCAGCCUCAUUGCGUCGACUUCUACGCUUCAACAAGUCGACAAUUGUUUCUUUGUCUUCUUCCUCUUAUUCCUCAGCAAUAUUUUUGCCUUUGUCUUUCACACCCGAACCGGAGGCUUGGCCUACUGGAGGAGGUUCGGUAGUCUGAGUUGCCUUUGAGGAAUGAGGUGGUUAGGGUACUGACUCCUUCUCUCUCCCUUGUUUCGGAAUGGACACGAAAUCAAGUAGCCCUUCGAUUUUGCUUAAUAGGGCAAGGGCGGGAGCGAGCUUUUCUGCAAGGGUACGCCUCACAGAAUAGUUAAGGAUAGGAUCAUGUGCUUCAAGGAUGUUUGAGAUGGCUGAGUGGACAUCUGAAACACACGUCUUUAUCACCUCCUUUUCGGACUGAAGAGAGUCAAUCUCCUGUUGAGAAUGGGAGAGUUGAACACUCUUGACCUUCAGAGCAGUGGUCUUCUUGGUAGGAACAUCAAUAAUAGAGUUCUCAGCAACCAAAUCUUCUUGGAGUUUCGAGAGACGCUCGUCUAUGGUUGUUCGAAAGGCUGAGUUGUCGUCGGAAAGCGUUUGACGAAAUGAAGCGAAGGACUUCAACUCAGUUCAGACAGACGUUGUCAACUGUUGAACAAUUGGUUCCAACGUACUCUUUGCAGCAUUUGCACUCUCCUGUAAAGAUUAUAUUAGGUCAGAGGCAUCAGAAAAUAGUUUAUCGACUUUUUCGGUCGCAGCCUGACAGGCUUUUGUUGAGGCGUCGAUGGUGCAGGUUGCAGAAGCAAUGGAAUCUUGUUGAGCCUUAGAGAAAGCGUCAACAAUCUUCUGAACUGCAUCUUCAGAAAGGGAUGACUGAGAAGUGGAAGAGGAGGCAAUGAGCAAAUCAACUUUGUCAUGGAGCUCCUUAAGAUGUCGUUUUGUAACGGGAACAUCGUCAUUGUCAUCACUCUGUAUUUGAAACGGACUAUAGUAGACCGAGUCAAACGUCAUAUUUUCCCCGCCAAGGAAAGGUUCUUCAUUCUCUGAAGCAUGACCAGGAGAAGGUGGUGGUGGUGAAGCUGGUGGAGCUGAAGUAUGGGUAGGUUCAGGUUGGGUUGUUUCGGGUAUAGGUGUAGGUUCGGAUGCUUUUGUGGUUUCGGGUGCUGGGGUGGUUUCGGGUGCAUCAGUAUGAACCCCCGUAUCAGAUACGUUGGCUCUAACAUCUGCAGUGGAUAUUAUGGUUGCUUCGGUAAAUAUUGGUGUUGGUAUGGGGAUGGAAGUGGGUGGUAUUGAAGUAGUGGAAGUUAUGGGGGGAAUAGAAAUAGGAAUGGUUCUAGGUGGAGAAUUAAUGGGAGAAGUAGAGACAUGAACCUCUGGGGUAGGAGAUCUGGGUGGAGUGUUGCCUCGUGGAGAAUCGUCAGAAUCCGAACUCUCACCCUCAGACUCGCUUGAGGAGGAAGCGAUGAUCAGCUUUCGCUUGGGCUGAGUUUUUCCGCGCUUUGGCUGCGGAGACUGAGCAGCCUUGGUUGGUUUCCUCUUCUUUGGAGAAGGGCCUUUAGCCCCUUUCGCCACCUGUUUCCCUUUAUCAGCCUUCUUGCCUCUUGGAGCAGGCUUGUCGGCGUCAUGAAUAGACUUCAACAUCUCCGGAGUGAGAUCCCUCGGACCAGAACGCUUGAAUCCUUUGUACGUCUGGAUAAUCCGGCUAUCAGUAGGAACAUCUCCAUACAUAGUUUCCGGAAUUGAACCGUUGAAUGGAAACUUGGAAGCGUCCGAGACAAUGAUCUUCGUGGUAUGGAAUGUACCAAUCGAAGACAUUGGAGCACCAGCGACAAUGGGGACGUGGUACUUGUCCAUCACCCAUUUCGUGACCAAAGUCCAGAACCUAGCGUAAGAAAUUUCAGAAUGCCUGGAUGUAGAGGAGAGACUCUGGAUGAGUUGUUGCCACAGAACAGACCCAUAAUCCAUGUUGAUGCCAUUGUAGACACGAUACAUUAUUAACAAAAAUAACCGACUGGGACCAUCAGAUCCAGCGCUUCUUUUAGAUAACCCUUUGAAUAGAACAGUGAACAUCCCGUUCCACUGUGGCGGUAGGCACGACUUCUUGAACUUGGCGACUGAAGUAAGCACCUCCGUAUAACCCAUGUUGUAAAACAUGUUGAAAAAAUGCCCCAUUGGAAUCGUUUCAGGGUUAACCCUCGAGGAAUCAGGUUCAAUCCCUAACAACGAGCAAAAUCUUUGCUUUGAAAUCGAGGCCUUGUGUUGAAAAAUAUCAAAGAAGAUUCUGUCAACGACCUUGUCGUAGUGAGCAGUCGCAAAGAUCUGCGACAAGAACUCCAUCGGAACGGAUUCAACUCUUGUAAGUGCAGGAGCAAUCGGCGAAAACUUCAAACACUCGAUAAUGGGGAACAUGAAGACGUCGUAAACAUGAGGGGAUAAAUCGAUGAUUAGGCUUUGUUGUGGGUGAAUGGGCAGUAUGUGGGAUGUUGCGUGAACAGAAGAUGAAUCUGCCAUUGCUUGAAGAGAUGUUGCGUGAAGGUAUUAAGGAAUUUUUGCUCUCUGGGAAUUUUAAUUGCGGUAAAGAGGUAAAUGAAGGAUUAUGUGGCCUUUUAUACUGGGGAUUGAAGAGAGAGAACGAUCUUCCCAAAUCUUCAAUUGGAAAUCGAAGAGUUUUACGAUGUUGACUGACGCGUGACAGUUGGGGUAGCCGAUGAUCACGCAUGAGAGAGAGUGUCAGAUCCCAAAUAACACGCCUCCCAUCAAGCGCCGUUUGGAUAUGAACCAUUUCAGAUUCACACGCGCCCUUUCUGCGCCAUUUGGAGAUGAGAUGGUUCCAAUUCGCACGCUUUCCCUUUUGCGCCGUUUGAAAUCAAAUCGAUUAGACUCCCGCCUGAGUCAGCAUGUCUUCAUCUUAUCCCUUUAAAUUGUAACGGCAUCUUUUGAAAAAUACCGCCACGUGGAUUAAAAUCAACCACAACCUUUAAUCGACUGCCAAUCCAAGUAAAAUGCCUUGUAAUUAAUAGAACCUGAAUUUUGGAAAAUCAAAGAUUUUCGUGCUUAGGGUGUAAAAGAAAAGAAAUAAAGCAAAAUUUUUGGGAAAAUAUGUGAUGUCAAUUAAGACACGAAACAAAUGAUCCCGGGCACGAAUCUCUUCCUUCAAAGUCAAGAGAGACCUUAAAGUGUUUGUGUGGUUUCCCGUUGAAUAACGAUCAAACACUUAUUAAGAAGUGUUGAAAGGCUUCUUUUAAUUAGGCUUAUUAGGGUGGCUUUCGCUUCGAUUCAACAUUCCUAAUCUUGAUAUAAGAUAGAAAGUGAACGAAGUACUUGUGAGANGAACAAGUAGGAAUAAUUUAAACUGGCUGGGAAUAAAAAAUCUCGAAAAAAAAUUAAAACCGGAUCCCAAGGGAAGAAAUUUUAUGGAUUGUAACAGUUUCAUAGGAAUCACACAAAAGAAAAAACUUGAGAUAGCAUUAAGAUACAUCCGUCAAUUCAAUGGUGAAAACUAGAGCAAAUUAAUUGUCCACCGUCAAUUCGUAUUGGGUAUUGAAUUUUGGGUUUCACUUAGCUCGUAGUGGCACGAAACUAAGAUCAUGAACACAGUUAUUGUGUAACCAUAAACCUCAGUGGUAAUUUCUGAGAGUCUCAAGGGUUACGUUUGUGAAACGAGUGUGAUGGAGAAAUGAAAUGUAGAUGGUGUAAGAAAUCAAAGUACCUCUGCUGCGAAAAAUAGGACCAAGCAGAAAACUCUUAUCUCAUGUGAGAAGAGAGUUAGGUAGCUCAUGAUUAGAAUAAAUAAGAAAGCCUAAUUGGGAAGACAAGGUUUGUUUAUACCAAGUCAGUAAGGCUGAUUAUUCAGAAUCAGGUGAGGCUUUGGACACAUACAGCAGCAUGCUUCUAGGGACACUUAGCUAAUUUAAUAAUUUCCCCAUAAACGAACACACACAUAAAAUUAAAGCCAAAAAGAAAAUAAAGAACAAAAUAUUUUUGGAGUUUUUGAAUUUAUAAAAAAAUAUUUUUGGAAUUUUAAAUAAAAGAUGAAAUAAAAAAAAUAAGACACAAGAUAAAAAAAAUAUUUGGAACCGAACCCGAGCGUUCGGUUUAUUUCGGUUGAAAAAAAAACUUUGGAACCGAACCCGAGCGUUCGGUCUAUUUCGGGUAAGAAAAAUUUUGGAACCGAACCCGAACGUUCGGUAUAUUUCGGUUGCCAAAGAAAAUAGGUUUUAAAAAGAGAAUAACUUUGACAAUAAGAUAAAUGCAUUUGGAACAAUUAUACAUAAGAUCUACAACCAAGAAAACUACCUUUGAUUGAUGAGCGAAAAGCAGAUUAUUCAACCGAACCCGAGCGUUCGGUUCAUUUCGGUACAUUAGUACAAGACCCGAACCCGAACGUUCGGUCUAUUUCGCUUCUCACUUUUGAGUUUGAGAGGUAAUGUUUGGUACUGACUCCGAUUCCAUCAUACCUAGCCCUUGUAGAAUUUUGUUGAACGAUGCUUCAGGAAGAGCUUUGGUGAAGAUGUCAGCCAGUUGAUCAGUGGUUCGAACAAAAUGAAUUUCGACGUUCCCAUCUUCCACAUGAUCUUUAAUGAAGUGAUACCUCAGUGCUAUGUGCUUAGUCUUCGAGUGUUGCACUGGGUUAUGACAGAUCCUAAUUGCACUUUCUGAGUCGCAAUAUAGUGGGAUCUUUUUCAUAUUGAGUCCAUAAUCCCGGAGUUGACUUUGGAUCCAAAUCACUUGAGAAGUACAGGAGGCAGCUGCAAUGUAUUCCGCUUCAGCUGUAGAUAAAGACACACAGGUUUGUUUCUUUGAUUGCCAACUAACUAACUUCCCGUCUAGGAAUUGGCAGCCUCCCGUGGUGCUUUUCCUGUCUAGUCCACAACCUCCAAGGUCUGCAUCUGAGUAGGCUUGAACGAAGAAGCCUGAGUUGGAUGGAUACCAUAGGCCUAAAGAGGUAGUUCGCUUGAGAUAACGGAGUAUGUUCUUCACUGCAAGCAUAUGAGGUUCACGCGGAUUCGCCUGAAAUCUAGCACAGUAACAAACAGAGAACAUGAUAUCAGGCCUGCUAGCAGUAAGAUACAUCAGUGAACCGAUCAUCUGGCGAUAUAGCGUAAUAUCAACUGCUGGCUUAUCCAAUGAUGGAGUAAGCUUGGUGCCGAACGCCAUUGGAACUUUAACCUUUGAAUCUCCCAUCAUGCCAAAUUUUGCAAGGAGAGUCUUCGUGUAAGCUUCCUGAUUAAUAAAGAUGCCUUCGGGUCCCUGUCUAAUAUUUAAACCAAGGAAAAAGUUAAUUGGACCCAUUGAGCUCAUUUCAAAUUUAGUCUCCAUCAGCUUUCUGAAUUCAGCCGUUAAGCUAGGAUUCGUUGAGCCAAAGAUGAUAUCAUCGACAUAAAUUUGAACAAUCAUAAGGUGGUUACCUUCCUUCUUACGAAAGAAGGUUGGGUCAACCGAACCUUGUUUGAAUUUGGACAUCUUUAAAAACUUGGUUAGCGUUUCAUACCAGGCCCUCGGAGCUUGUUUCAGUCCAUAUACGGCUUUGUCCAAAAUGUAACAGUGAUUGGGGUACCUUUCAUUGACAAAUCCAGGAGGUUGCUCCACGUACACGGUUUCUUCAAGUUCUCCAUUUAGAAAUGCGCACUUGACAUCCAUUUGGUAGACCUCAAAGUUUUUGUGUGCAGCAUAGGCAAGAAAUAUUCUAACGGAUUCCAGCCUAGCUACAGGAGCGAAAGUUUCUUCAUAGUCGAUUCCUUCCUCCUGACAGUAUCCUUUCACUACCAGACGGGCUUUGUUUCGUAUCACGUUGCCUUCCUUGUCCAUCUUAUUUCUGAAGACCCAUUUGAGACCAACAACUGAGGCAUCUUGAGGAGUUGGAAUGAGACGCCAAACUUUAUUCCUUUCGAAUUCAUUUAGUUCAUCUUGCAUAGCUUGAACCCAAUCGGAGUGAUCAAGAGCAGUGUUAACUGUCUUUGGUUCAACUUUUGAGACGAAGGAGUUAAACAUACAGAAUUCUACUUUUGAAAAUAAGGAAGUUUGUUUUGCCUUUAGUUGUGAUCGGGUCAGGACCUUUUCAGAGACAUUACCGACAACCUGAGAAACAGGAUGAUCUCUGGUCCAUUUGACAAGAGGAGGGUAAUUUGGAUCAUAAGAUGGAUCCAAUUCAGCGUUUACCAUCUCUUCUAGUUCAGAUUGACUAUCAUAGUCGUAAGACAUAUCUGCAUUCUCCCCCUCGACAGAUAAGCUUUCAGGUGUGUCUUGAGUUUCUGGAGCUAUAGGAGUUUCGUGCGGUGUUGAGCUUUCGGGUACCACUGGACUUUCGGGUGCAGAUGAGCUUUCGGGAGCAGCUGGAGAAUAGUUCUCCCCCUCAACAUGUGAGCUCGCCUGUGAUGACGAAGAUGUGCCCUCCCCCUCAACUGAAGUAUCGUGCUGUGGAGGGUCGUCAGAACUUGAUCCUCCUUCAUUCAUUCUCUUUGCAGUAUCUUCGAUGAGUUGCUUCAGAUGAUCUACUUUGUUGUCUGCUGCACUCGCUUCUGAGAGAGUUGCCUUCUCUGGUUCAUCAAAUAACUCGACGAACUUCUCAAAUAGGUUUGCAAUCGAGGCUGUGACUUGGCCUGUGUGAGAAAAGAUUUCUCCAACUGUGUCUUCUUUGGCCUUAAGCUUUUUGACAUAGCUAUCAUCAAAAGUCACAUAAUAGGUUUCUUCUAUUUUCCUCGAGCGCUUGUUUAAUACCCUGUAGGCUUUAGAAGUGAGAGAAUAGCCCAGAAAUAUCCCUUCAUCGGCUUUGACAUCGAACUUGUUACGAUGUUCUUUAGAAUUGAAGAUGAAGCACCGUGAGCCGAAUACAUGGAAAAAUUUGACAUUUGGCUUCCUGUUGUUGAUGAUCUCAUAAGGAGUGAGAGUGAAUCGCUUAUUGAGAUAUGACCUGUUCUGCGUAAAACAAGCAGCAGCAAUAGCAUCAGCCCAAAAAUAUAAAGGUAAAGAAGCAAAACUUAGCAUGCUUCGGGCCGCCUCACACAAAGAUCGGUUUCGUCUUUCGACAAUCCCGUUUUGUUGAGGAGUGUAGGGAGCUGAGAAGUUAUGACUGGUUCCUUUGUCGGCUAAGAAUUCUUCGAAUUCUUUAUUUUUGAACUCUAGACCAUUAUCGCUCCUGAUGUUGCGAACGACUUUCUUUAGCUGUACUUCAAUCUGCUUGAUAAACGUCUUCAGCUUGAGAGUCGCUUCAGAUUUGUGCUUCAGAAAGAACACCCAUGUAAAACGCGAGAAAUCAUCAACGAUGACAAGAAUAUACUUGCUACCGCCGAUGCUUUCGAUAGAUGAUGGACCACACAAGUCAAUGUGAAUUAACUCUAAUGGUUCAACAACUUUAGUGUUUACAAUCGAUGGGUGACUUUGACGACUCUGCUUCCCCAUUUCACACGCAGCACAUAAAUGUUCUCGAUCGAAUUUGAGCAAUGGAAGACCUCGAACAUGACCACCUGUGACAAGUUUGUUGAUAUCCUUGAAGUUGAGAUGAGAGAGCCUUCGGUGCCACAGCCAGCUUUCGUUAGAUUGUGCUUUGGAUAACAGGCAGAUAGCUGGAUUCCCUUUGAUGGGUUUGAGGUUCAGGGGAAACAUUUCGCCUUUGCGCUCCGAUUUGAGAAUGACUCUUUUCGUUUUCUUCUCAAUUAUUUCCGAACCCUCAUCAUCGAAUGAAACCUUGAGACCGGUACCUCCAACAAGCUGAGAUACACUGAUGAGGUUGUGCUGUAGUCCUUCAACGUAUGCAACCUUCCUAAUCGUAAAAUCACCAUUUGUAAUCAUUCCAUAGCCUUUUAUGGUGCCGAAGGAGUUGUUCCCGAACUUGACAUUUCCACCGUUUGAAAGAGACCGAAACUCCCUCAGCUCUUCCUUCCUUCCUGUCAUGUGACGUGAGCAGCCACUGUCAAUGUACCAUUCUUCGUCAAACUGCUCGUCACUAAUAACCUGCAAAAAUUAAGCAGAUUUAGGAACCCAAAGUUUCUUGGGUCCACGUGAGCCUUUCACAGGAACAGGAAUAGUAAGAGAGAUGUCAACAAGAUAUGUUCUUUUUAUUAACGUUGUUUCAUCUUUCUUUUUAAUGGUGAAAACCUUAAUUUUAUUGUGAUUUGUUUCUUUCGGUUUGGAUUCUGGUUUAGGUAUUUGGACUCUGGGAUUAUUUUGAUUUGUUUCAACUGAUGAAAACUUUGAUUUUCCUUUCAUAUCUGUUGAUGAUUUAGGUUUUUGAGUGCGAACAGAGUUGAAUUUAGAAAGAGGUUGAGAGGAAUUAGAAGAAUUAGAAGAAGAAGAACGAGAGAAGUUAGACUGAGAUGAGUUCUUGGCUUGAGAUUCUAAGUGACCCUUUUGUUUUUGAUCAUUAGUGGGACCGAACCUAGAUCUUUGGUCUCUUUUGCUCUCGGAACCGAACCUCUGCUUUCGGUAGAUAGUGUUUUCUGAACCGAACCUUUGCUUUCGGUUGUCAAAUUUUUCAGAACCGAACGUAUCCUUUCGGUUGUUUUGACCUUCAUAACCGAACCUCUCUCUUCGGUUGUUAUGACUUUCUUGUGACCUAACAGUGUUUUUCUCUGACUUUAAAUUUCUGUCAUGAUAAGAGAAAUGGGCAUUUUGAGAUUGCCAGAACUGUUUUCUUUCAGAGAGAUUCUUCUUGUAUCUCUGAUUCCUUUGCUGUUUCUGAUUUCUCACCUGCUUCGGCUGACGAUGGAUAUUCGCUUUUUGUUUUUGCUUUCUGUCAGCUGAUUCACUUUGAACUGAUGAUGUGUCGCUUGAAGGAGUGACUUCUUUUGCAGAAACUCCUUUUUCUUCAGGAACAUCUUUUGUACCACUAGUACUUGGCACGUCGAAGCUAUCAGGCUUGUUCAAAGGCUCUGGCACAUAUCUGCCUUUGGUUUUCCAUGAAGUCCUUUCUGACAGACCAACUGUUUCGUCAGCAUUGUCGAUAGGAGCAGACCAGAAGAACUCAUCACAACCAUCAGCAUUAUCUUCGUUUACAAUAGCUGUGAGUUCGGCUGUCUGAUGUUCUGUUACGCCUGUGACUUUAUACACCUGAUUUGGAGUUGUUCUCACUUUUUGGUAUACAACAGCCUUUUCUUCAAGGAUCGGGGACUUUUGUUGGGACAGACGAGCAAACUCCACAGAAUUUUCUGAAAUAAGAUUUUUGUGGUUUUUGGGUUCGCUCUUGACAAACUCUGAACAGUCAACUGUGUCUUCAACAGAAAUUUCACUCAUAUCAUCGUCCUCAUUGAGCUCAGAUGCAUUUUCAACAUCAAUUUUAUUUUCUGAGCUCAGGUUGGCAUUCAAUGAGUCAAACUUUUGUAUGGUUUCGGUUCUUAGUUUUAGUUUAUCAUUUUCAUCCAAAAGAUUUUUCAGCAUGUCUUUAUGGUCCUUGGACUUUAUGAAAGAUUCGAUUUUGUCUAGACCAUACAUAUAUGUCGGAUUAACAUCCUCAGACGAAACAACACUUUCACAGUUAUAUGCUUCAGCGUCAAUUUCAUCCUCCUUAAACUCAAGGAAGGGCAAAAUCAUGCGAUGAAUUUUCUGCCCUAUUUCACAGUUUAAAUGAAGUUGAGUGAUAUUAGUGUAAAGACGCUUAGCAAUUAAACAAAAGACAUUUCUCUGUUUUAAAAGUUUUAAAUUGUCUCUUUGUAAAUAAAUGUUUUCAUCCUUGGAUUUGAUUAACUCCGACUCCUUUAGCUCGAUCCACAUCCUUCGUUCCUCACUCUUUGAAGAUACCCUGCUUAUUUGGUCAGUUAGGUUAGAAUUGGUGACUCGUGUUUGAGUUAAACUGCUGUCUAGAUGAGAGAUUCUUGAAUUAACAUUUUUUAAUUCCUUUUCAUAUGAACUUUGUGGGACUUUGAAUGAAACAAAAACUGAUUGUACCUUCUUGAUUAAUUCAUCAAGCUCGUUAAACUGCACGCUGAGAGGUUUUGCUGUGAAGCACAAGUCCUCUCGCUCCUUUGUGUCUUCAUUCCCACCAUCUGUGUUGUAUCCCCUCAUCUGAGACACGUCUGACACCAUUAAACACUUUCCACCGCUCCCUUCACCUUUUGCAACAUAGGCCUUUCCAUGAGAUGGCUUCCUGACUUCAUCGUCCUCAGAAUCGGUUGACCAGACCUCCACGCCACCGAACUCAUCAUCCGCUACCGAACCCUGCACAAUUAAAGCAUUCAUAGAGGGGUUAGCAGUGGAUUUCUUUCUUUUGAUCUCUUCCAGCUUUUUCAACAGCACAGUUUCUUCGUCUUUUUCCUCAUCCUUUUCUGCCAUUUUCUUGAGAACACAAUCUUUGGCAUAGUGGUUCUUUCCUCCACAAUAAUAGCAGCUCACACCCGAAUCUCCUUCAGCUUUCGGUUCCUUCUUUGGUUCUUCUGCCUUCGGUUCUUCCCUAACUUUUUCAGAACUGUAACUUCCCUGCCAAUUUCGGUUCUUAUUUGUAGGGAACCUUUUCUUGAUGAACCUCUUUGGGUUUGAGACCAUCAUUGCAUAGUCUUCAGAGGUAAGGUCAUAAUCCUCUAGGUUGAGGUCUUCAUCUUCCAUCACAGCUUUGCUUUUGGACAGAAGGGCCAAUGAUCCCAAGCUUGAAACCACAUUUUUCUCCUGUAACACAAUCUUUUCUUGAGAUUUCAAAAUCCCUACCAGUUUCGCCAAAGAGUAAGAUUUGAAUUGCUCAUGCGCUUUAACAGUGGACACAACCGCUCUCCACUCAGAUCUGAGACCGUUUAAAAAUGUAACCUUUUGUUCAAUCAACUACCUUUCAAUAUCAUGUUUAAUCAUCUUGCUAAGAAGAUGAUUGAAGCGAUCGAACGUCUGAGUUACAGUUUCUUCAGGACUCUGCUUGAAUUCACCAAAUUCGGACAAAAGCAAGGUUUGAAUGGAAUGCUCGAGAUCUUCGUCCGUAGAAUAUAACUCUCACAGCCUAUCCCAUAUUUCUUUGGCAGUGCUACAUGAACUCACUAGCCUGAAAGUGUCAGAUUGAAGAGCGAAUCUGAUUAGUCUCAAUGCUUUAAUAUUGCACUGAAAUUUAUCUUUUUCGUCUUGAGCAAUAUCUUUAACGUCUUUCAAAGGAUCAUUAUACUCCUUCUGAGUUUUAAUAAUUCUUGAAGUUGCUGAAUGAGCGAAUGGUCCGGAUACGAUUGCUUCCCAGAUGAGAUAUCAAUUGUCCUCAGAUCCGAAGACAUAAUCUUCAAAGUGAUGUGCCCAGACCUCGUAAUCCUGGGUGUAAAGGAUGGGAAUCUUUGUCGUUGAUCCAAUGCUGUUUGAGAUGUUGAUGGGAUUGGAUUGUGACUCGUCCAUGCUUGAUCGAAUAACAUGUUUAAAAGAUCAGACUUGUAAUAUAUUAAAUUAGGGCAACACAAAUAAAUGUUGAGUUCCGUCAAUUAUGGGAUGACGGCUCAAUAAAUAUCAGUAAAUGCGGAAUAACCCUAAUCGCAACCUUUUUUACAAAAAAGAAGUGUAUGAAUUACACAGCCUCCUGCUCUGAUACCAAUUGAUAAGAUAUUAAAUAAACUUGAAGAUUGAUCAGAUCUUUGUAACAGGUAGUGCGAAGAACAUAAAACAAUAAAUAAGACAAGAUUUAAAUCACAAUGUGUCGAAUGAUUAAUUCAAACAAUCCUCAGCAGAGCUCGACUAAGAACUUCCGCUGUAGAGGAUUUAGGGUUAGAAGAACGAUAAUUAAAACUUCUAAAUAAUUCUCUGAUCUAUCGUUACUAUCGUUUUUCUAAGAUGCAUGCAAGCGCCUAUAUUUAUAAUAAACCCUACUAUACUCACGGAUGGAAAGGCCCAUACCGGAGAUACAAAAACGGACUAGCUAACGAGCCCAAUAGACGCAACACUUAAUACAAAACACGACCCAACACGGCGAUUCGACAGUCGGAUCGUCAACUUAGUUAUGAGAUCAGGAUAGCAGUGGAACAUUGGGUUCGUGUAUGUUAAGGGCUACCGUUAGUCUGGGAGCUGUCAUGUUAUUAGUCGUGGAACUGAUGAUGUCAGGAUGUGACGUUUGGACCUGAUCAGUGGAUCGGGAGGUUGUUAGAGCCACAAUGUCAGGAUAACUAGUGGAAACUAGUUCCAGAGAAAGAUUCCGUUCAGAAGUCAUGGGAGCGACUAGGUGAGGAGUCCUUUGACUCCAUAAUUGAGUUGGAACUCGGUGUUGUAGAUAACUGACGAAUGAUUGGAGACCAGGAAGGUCUUCAGGUAUUUUGGGAAGCAGUCAUAUAGGCAUGUUCAGUGUUUAUGCAGUUUACUGUUUCAUGCAGUUCAGUGUUUCAGGCAGUUCAAUGUUUCAGACAGUUUAGUGUUUCAGGCAGUUCAGAGUUUCUGGCAUGUUCAGUGUUUCAUGUAGUUUAGUGUUUCAGGCAGUUCAGUGUUUCAGGCAGUUCAGUGUAUCAGGCAGUUCAGUGUUGCAAGCAGUUCAGUGUUCGGAUAGUUUCAGAGUUAUGGAUAGUAUUAGUAUUUGUGUUGGAAUGCAAGUGAGGGCGGUAUAGUUGGUUGAUUUGGAAAUGGCAAGUCCCUCUCACUAGGAUCAGUUGAGUCUUCUGCCAAGUAUAAGUGAUCUGCGACGGUAAUUAGGUAGGUAGCCUUUCUUUCAGGAAGGGAGACUCAAGUUUUUGGAAAUUGAGUAGUCAGAUGAGAGAUAAGCAGGCUCGUUCCAGCAGCAUCGAUUUAGUAUAGAUGACAGAAUGGAUAGAACAGUUAUAGAUAGUCGAAGUAUCUUCAGGAGUCACUAGGAGCGACUAGGAGAUUGCGAUGGAGUGUAGUGACCGGUGGGAGUCUGGCAACCUAGAUAUUGGCGGAUUAGUUGGACCUGGGUAGUCUCAGUGCAUCCGGUAGGCGGAUGAGGGGCAACAGAAUUUUCAGUAGGAGGAAGUAACGCUAAGGAAAUUAUGGAAAAGAGAAGAAUUCAGUAUGUACCAGUAGUAGUGACCAGCACUGUGAGUGGCUGGAGUGAUGGACAAAAAGUGUUAAAGUCACCAGGGAGGGUGUUGAGGUGUAUUGCAGGUCAGUAGACCAUAGAAAACUUCGAGGACGAUGUUUAGUUUAAGUGGGGCAGAGUUGUAACACCCAAAAUCAGAAAGGACAAGAAAGGAAAGGAAAAACCCUAAGUUAAAGAGUGUUGACUCGGUGAGUCUAAGGAGGAACUCGGCAAGUCGGAGCGGGAUCUGGGUGUAAAGUAAGUGACUGACUCGGCGAGUCGGCAAGUGGACUCGGCGAGUCUGGUCUGGGUUGGGAAACCCUAAUUUUGGCACUUGGUACCCUAUUUAAGCAUCUUUUUCUCUUCCCUAGGGCCCAUUUGCGGCCCCUAUAGUCCAGAACCCGAAACCCUAAGCCUCCAUUGUUGCUCAUUCAAGCUUCGAAGCCAUUUUUGGGUGAUUUGAAGGAAGAAGAAAGAGGGAAAUCAAGGAAGCUUCAAGGAUUGGUCUUAGAUCUGGAGUUUGUGGAACCUUUCUGAGUUAUUGAAGGUACUAAUUCAUUUCCUUCAUUUAGAUCUAUUCUAGUUGUGAGAUUCGGGGCUUUUUGGGGAAGUCUAUGAACCAUUUCGAGUUAGAAGCACAGAUCUGAAGUUGCUACUUCAGAUCUAAGUAUAUCCUGGCCUAGAGAAUCAUAAAGCAUCAGUCUAUGGGUUGAUUGUUAAGCCCCUUUGUCUUAAACCCUAGUUCAUGGUGUAUUUAGCCUAGAUCUCCUUAGCUACAUGUAAAGUUUGGCACUUUACGUAAGGAAUAGGCUUUAGAAGAAUGGAUCUAUAGUUUGGAGUCCAUGCAUGACUCAAAAGCCUCUAUAUAUAUGAAGGACUGAAUAGACUCGGCGAGUAGUAUGAAGAUGGAGAUGAACUCGACGAGUUGGAUGAACAACUCGGUGAGUCUGUUAAAGAUUGCCUCAGACUCGGCGAGUUUGUUCUUGGACUCGGCGAGUCAAGUCGCGAAACCCCAAACACUUCGAGUUAAGACUCGGAUCAGUGAGUUGAGUGGGGACUCAGUGAGUUGGUCAGGUCAGGACUCGGAAAUCGGUAGACUCGGAAAGUUAGGGGCUGACUCGGCGAGUCGAGUCGCGAAUGAAUGGAUUCUGAGCGUAUGAACUCGGCGAGUCAGUAAGCAGACUCGACGAGUAGGGUUGACCAGGACUUUGCCUUUAACCAGAGUUGACUUAGUUGACUUUUAGAGGACUGUCAGACUAAGUGUCAUAUUAAUAUUGGUAGCUCGGAGAGCUAGAGGAGCAGCGGCUCAGAGGAUUGUCGGUUAGCAGCCAAAGGAUUAUCGACAGAGCUCAGCAGUUCAGGUGAGUUUCCUUCCCGUAGGAACGGGUCUACGGCCACAAUGUCGUCCCGAUUAGUUAGCAGUAGUUUUCGGACUUCGGUCCGAUGCAGUAGUUAGUAUGUUUGAUGCCUUCGUGGCUCAGACAGGAUUUCUGUGUUAUGUGUUCUGGGAUACGGUCCGAUGCAGUAUGCAGUAUAUGUAUGUUCAUGGUAGUUGAUAUGUUUAUGUUAUGCUUUGUUCGGUUAGUUUUCGAACUUCGGUCCGAUGCAGGGGGCAUGGCCCCAGUUAGUCUGGACUUCGGUCCGUUGCACGGGGACAAGGUCUCAGUUAGUUAGUCAGAAAUUCGGUCCGAUGCAGGGGACGAGGUCCCAGUUAGUUUCUGGACUUCGGUCCGAUGCAGGGGGCGAGGCCCAAGUUAGUCCGGACUUCGGUCCAAUGUAGGGGACAAGGUCCCAUUCAAUUUCGGGAUUUCGGUCCGAUGCAGGGGCAAGGCCCCAGUUAGUCCGGACCUCGGUUCGAUGUAGUGGGAAAGGCCCGGUAUGUGCUUUAUAUGUUAUUGUAUGGUAUGUGGUAGAUUGGGGGAGUUCACUAAGCUUUGUGCUUACGGUUUUCAGUUUUGGUUUUAGGUACUCAGUUUUCAAAAGAGGAGCUCGGGAAGAUUGCAGUGCACACACGAUAGUCAGUUAGCCUGGGAAUGUUUUAAUUUGAUAAUAAGAUCAUGUUUUGAAUUGAUACUCGGAAACUAUGUUAUGACUUAUGAUACAAUUUAUAUAAAUAUGGUUUUAGUAAUGUUUUAAUAGAAAUUUUUAGCCGUGAUUUUGGGUUCGUUAUAGUUCCCGGUUCUGAUGUAAUGGUUUGCGAAGCUUCCCGGUUUUAAUGUGUUUCAUUUCUUAAAUAGCCAACACCUUUUGAACACGGUUUAUACAAAUAAGACCCAUUAAUUUAGCCAUAUAUGUUAAUAAAAGAACUGAGUUUGACCUUUACACGAUACGUUUGACUUUUAGAAGAAUAAAUUUUUUGGGUUAUCACAUCAUUCCCCCAUUAAAGGGAAUUCCGUCCCAAUAUUAAGUCUAAGGUAUACACAUGGACUAAAGGAAAAGAGGUGGAUACAUAGGUUUCUGAUGAUUCUCACUCUCCUAAGUGAAUUUGGGUCCACGCUAUGCACUUAGGUGGGCCCUUACUUUCGGGAUAAGGAUUUGAUUAGUCCUAUUGACUUCACUAUCUAGGAUUCCUAUGGAUUCUUCCACAAAGUUGAGGUUCUUGUUCACUUUGAUCUAAUCGAGUGGAAUAACAAGAGUCUCGUUGGAAAAAUACUUUUACAAGUUAAAGAUUUGGAAGAUAAGGUGUAUGUCAUUGAAUUCUCAAGGUAGUCGGGGUGUAUAAGCUACUGGAUCAGAUCUAGUAAGAAUCUCAAAUGACCUUAUGUACCUUGGAUUUAGUAUUCCACGCUUUUGGAAGCGUAUCUUGCCUUUCCGGGUGAGACCUUCACAUGGCGUGGUCAUCAACCUAGAAUUCCAAGGUUUUAUCCUAUUGAAGUCAUACCUUUUUGGUCUGACUUUAGGAUCCUCACGUCGCUCCUGGAUUUGUACUCUCUUCUCGGUAGUUUCUCGGAUGAUUUUCGGACCAACGAAGGUGCCGUAUGGAAAUUGGACCUCUAGCUAGUUGUGUGUCACCCACUUUAGUGAAGUGCAGAGAGGAUCUGCAGUCACGACCACAUAAGGUUUCAAAUGGAACAACUUUAAAUGCUAGAAUGAUAAAGGGCUCGACUAGUUGGAAAAUGUGUAUCCCAUGCUUAAUCAAAGUCGGUCACAUAUGCUCUCAGCAUGACUUCUAAUGAUUGAAUCGUUCUCUCAUUCUGCUUGUCGGUUAGUGGAUGGUAGGUUAUGUUAAUGACUAGCCUAGUUCCCAAAGAUUUCCGAAGUGACUGACUGAACUGGGAGAUGAUUCUACAAUCUUGAUCGUAAAUAACAGAUAUUGGGAGACCGUGCAGUCUAACAAAUCUGUCGGACACAUGUUUAGAUCAUAGAAAAAGUAAAGAUCAUACACAAACUUGGUAUGCAUACUUGGAGUAUGUCGUAACUAAUGUUUAAACAAACAUAGAGUGCAUACUUGGUGUAUGACAAAGCUAUUGUUUAGAAAAACACAGUGUACAUGCUUGGAGCAUGGCACAACUAGUGUUUUCAAUUCAAGUACAAAGUUGAGAAAACCGAAACAAUGAAUAAUGAGUAAUCAGUAUGGUGAUAAAUAAAAAGUGUUUUAUUUAGGUUUUGAUACCAUACUAGAUUCAAUUAUUCUUGUGUUUCAUUUCGCAUGUUUUGACUUCCAAAAUAAACUAGGUUAUUCUUACUGAAUGACUAAGUUAUUCAAACCAUCCACAUUCGGUCAUAUGUUGGAAGUAGAUAUGAAUGAAGACUAUCAUGGGCUAGGCUUGUAAAGGUCUAAGAUGUUGGACAAGGUGGUGCUACAACACUCAUGAGUGCUCAUAAGUUCUGAGUAUUGGAUUCAACCCACGCUCAUUGGAAUAAUUUCAUGGAUAUUAUCAUGAGUGAUCAUAAGACGAUAAUAUCAUAUAUUCUUCAAACCUAGAGAUAUGAGUUGUUACUAUGAGUUGGUUGUACAUUGAUUGCACGAAAACGCAUUGGUGACUCAAUGUUAAAAAACGUGCCUUUGUGUAUGAGUCAACAAGUAGUAGAAAAAGCCAUAUGAGUCAAAGUUUAUCCAUUCCUUUUACCUUCGGGAUAAAAGCGAUAUUUGUAGGCCCCUCGAUGAUUUAAUGAUGAUACAUGUGAGUGCUUGGCCAAGCUAGGACUGAUUUGAUUUGUUCAGUCAGUCGGUAAUCAUGAAUCGAAAAUCGGGAAACAACAGAUGGACAGAGGGAAUGAUUUAUAAUCCAUGUCUCAGUCCAUAUGAUAUAUAGAAUGAAGUAAUAUAUGAUCCAUUAUCUAAUGGACAACUCAUUGACAAAGGUCAGAGUUCAUCGGCAAGGUCAGAGUUCGACAGCGGCUUUUGAGAGCUACGAUUGCCAGUUGGUUCUUGAAGUCAUAUGCAAUAAUAGUUUUAGACUUAUCCAAGUGGGAGACUGUUGGAUUAGUGUCUAUGUCCAUAACUAUAUUUGGUAUGUACUUGAACCGACUCGGCAUGGUCCAUUUGGGUUGCAUGGCAUCAUGCAUUUGGAUUGACUAAAAUGAGAGAAAUAACACUUAAAGUUUGGUAAUAUAUUGUCACACCCCCAAACCAGAAUGACGGAAACGUUCGGGGGUGGAUGACUUCACGUAUAGUAUCAUAACAACGAGUAUAAUAGUGAAGAAAGCGAACACAACCAUCAUCAAUAUAAUUGAAAGGGUUACAUCAUAGAGUAAGUUUACAUGUUUCAAAAUCAAUUACAUCAUGAUGACAAAAUAAGUUUUGAAUUUAACGCCUUAGCGUCCCAUCCUCGAAAGCAGUUGAUUACCUGUUUAGUGAUUUUCUGAGAAUACAGGUUGUUUGAAAAAGUUUCAACACAAAGGUUGGUGAGUUCAUAAGAGUUUUAAUUGAGAAAUAAACUGUUUUCCUUGUAAAAGCAGUAAAGGGAUUCCAGAAAAUCCAAUAUUUUCCUUGAAAAGUGAGUUGUACGUUUCCGUGUUAUGAAAUUGUGCAUCCUAGAAUUUCCAAUAAUUUCCUUCCGUAAUCUCCAAGUGUAUAUAAGUUAUAUAAAAUUAAAGUUAAAUAAACCGUCGAAUGUAAUGGGUCUGCCCUAGGCUCACAACCAAACAAGGAACAGGAAAUAAAGUAGACCCACCAAUUCUAAGUCGAUCACGACUACAUUCUAUAUAACUCUAGCAUAUACACUUGGAAAUUAUAGCUAAAAACUAACAAUUCUAGAUAGAAUGUAAUCUUAAAACCAAUGACCGAAACCAAAUCCUAGUGUAGUGUAUGAAAUAGUAGUAGUGGCUGUGAACAUAAACUAUACAUAUCAUAGUUCAUCGAAUAGUGAUAGUGGUAGUGAACAUGAACUAUGCAUAUUAUAGUUUAUCAAAUGUGAUGGUGAUGGUGAACAUAAACUAUACAUAUCACAGUUCAUCAAAUAGCGAUAGUGGUAGUGAACAUGAACUAUGCAUAUUAUAGCUUAUCAAAUGUGAUGGUGAUGGUGAACAUAAACUAUACAUAUCACAGUUCAUCAAAUACGAUAGUGGUAGUGAACAUGAACUAUGCAUAUUAUAGCUUACCAAAAGUGAUAGUGAAAUUCCUUCUUGUAAUAAGUUUGUAGUGUAGAUGAAACAUAAACUAUACCUAUUAUAGUUUAUUACAUUGUUUGUAAUGUACAUUCAACCUAAUUAUACCGAUUAUAAUUAGCGUACUUACUUGUGGGGGUGUAAUAGACUUAACUGUACUUAUUAUAGUUUAUCAUAGUUAUUCGUAGUGGUAAUAACCCCUUUUGUAUAUGUAAUACCUUUAUUAAUGUGUUUAUUAUGUAAAUGAAUCAUAAACUAUACCUAUUAUAGUUUAUCAAAAUAAAGGUAGUUGUAGUAUUCAUGAACUAUAUUUGUCGUAGCUUACCAAAUGAUUGUAUGUAAUGGAUGUAAAUUUGUUUAUAACAAUUUAUCAUUUAGCAUGCUUAAUAUAGCAAAAAUCCAUUUUAACUGAUGUAUGUCUAUAUAACAAGACAAAAUGACAUAUAUGGUAAUGACAUAUCAUCACAUGAAGGUACACACCUUGCUCAACAAGUUACAAGGUGUAAAUGAAAUUGAAAACAUCUUUCUACUACUACCAUUUCUAUUCUGUUAUUAGAAAAUUCAUAGACAAAUCAUUAAAGGUCCAAAUCAGAAUCUGUAAAUUCUGAGAGUUUGGAAAAUGAGUGUAGUUUGUUCAUAAAUUUUCUCAUCAUUUUUAGUAACCUCCAAUUUGGGUGAAACAGUCCAUAAUCAGAGACUGGUCCGGAUGUUUUCUUGAAAUGAUAGGCAGUUUUGUAAAAAUUAUCAUAAAUUGUAGGAAAAUCAUAUGGAGAUGUGCAAGUAGCCAUUUUAAAGAUAAGAACCUGAAAUACUUGCACCUAAUACAGUUUUGAAAACUAAAAUGUUUAAGUUGUCCAAAACAGUCCGUGAUUGGAGUUCAUACUUUCUGAUGAAAGAUGUUGGAAAAGUUUAGUUGUGUUCUUGGUGUUUUAACUUGUAUCCCCCCCUUAAAACAUAAUAAAACAUGAAAAUAUAUGGGUAUGAACUCACCUUAUAUGAUUUCAGUGGGUGAAUGUUGAAGAAGAGAAGUGUUCAACUCAAGAACACUUGGAGGAUUGCUUGAAGAUUCGAGAAUCUAACACUAAUGUGAUGGAAUUUGUGUAAGCAAUCUAUGAUUUUGAGUGGGAGGAUGUGUAAUAAUCAUAAGAAAGAUGAUGAUACUUACCAAAUGAAGGAGAAAAUCCUUGGAGUAUGCCUUGAAGUUCUCGAAAUUAAGAGAGAAAGAUGAGAGAGUUUGGAGUGUGAUUCUUGGUGGAAAAUGAGAGAAUGAAUGAAGUGUGAGGAGAGAGGGUGGAUGUUCUAGCUCUAAGAACGUGGGAAAUGGCUGGAAAUGAUGAGAAAGUACAUUGACAUGACCUAGUUAUGGUGGAAGGAGUGUGGUUGGUCAUGGAGUGGGUGUGGGUGGUUGCAUGUGUCAUAAUCUGAAGGAAAGUCAACACUCCACCUUUUGUACUUCACCCACUCUUCUUGGAUAAGGUUUAUCCCCAAAAAACGUGAUUAAUUAAUAAAUAUGGGGCCUUAUACGUUAAGAUAAAUUUUUGGGUGAAAAUACCGCGUUAAAAUGAUGAAAAACGGACUUAAGAUGCAAAACUACUCGAAAACCGGGAAGUUGAGGCGAAGCUGCGAGGCUUCUCGCAUGAAGGAGCGAAGGUGCGAGGGUUCGGUCCCUCCUGGUGCUGGACCCGAAGGCGAAGUCAGGCGAAACGAGCCGAAGGCGAAGGUCAGGAGCGAAAGCGAACUUCAGGUUCGGGUCAUCAGGCUUCGGUUCGGUAGGUUCGGUCCUUAUAGCAGAUUCAUUCUUCCUAGUUUCGCUCCGAAAGAGAAGGUUCGGGUUCGGGUUCGGUUCCUUGGUUUGCAGGGGCUUCGGGUCAGCAGGGUUCGGUCCCUAUAGGGUAGUUUCGGCUCUAAGAGGCUUCGGCCCAAAAGGAUGGGUUUUGGGUCCUUAAGCCUAUUUUACUCGAUUUUACCCCGUUUUAAGCGGUUUUUGACCCAGUUAAGGGUCGGGAUGACCUGAUUCAUAAGGUCGUGAUGAAAGUGAAACUUAAUUUUCUUACCAAUUAAGGAAUUGACGGGGAACUAUGUUCCAAAUUUUCACGAAACAUUUGUUUCAGUACCAAAAAUUUUGAUACUCCAAAUCAUUUUCUUUCUUUUAGAGUGGUGUUGAUCAAAUGUUCAAAGCCUACAACAUUUUUCUCCCAACAGGAUCCAAUUACAAAAUUUAUUUUAUGCAUAUGAUUUCCGUGUGAGUAUUAAUUCUUAUCCUUUGUCACUUUCAAAUAUUUUCCAAAGCAUACUUGUCACUUACUACACUAGUCAAACAAGUGAUUUUUGUUGCAAUUACUCACCUUAAAUUAAGUAUGAAAUGUAACGAAAUAUUUUGAGGUACCUACGAAGCCUUGAAAAAGAAGCCCUUCGAAACUUCUCUAUAAGUUUUCGAUUGUAAUUUACGGGAAACCACACAAGCAGUUGAUUAUCUAUCUUGAUAAUUAACGAAGUAACCUUUUCCUGGGGUUUAACUGCUUUCUUGUCAAAAUUUUAUUUUUGACAUCACAGAUCCAAAUUUUUCAUUAAAUUUGAUUCUUACCUUAUUUCAUUGGCACACUGCACUUACGAAAUCCUUGAGGUUUUGAGUAAUACCAACUCAGGUUGACGAUUUCGCAAGACUGGCGAAUGACUUUGUUUCUAAGCCCAAAAACGAAAGAGCCUAACCUCUAUGCCGAAGAUUUUCGAUCUUAUCCACUUCGUACUCAUGAACAGUUUUGAUGUAACUGUUUGGCAACUUAUUCCGAGCUUCAAGGUACUUUAUCUGACAUGGCGUGUAUAAUGGCUAGUGAUUCGAUUUUCAAGGAAGGACGUGGCAAACUCAUUAACGAAAACAUUUUCAAUUCUUUUGGGGUUACAUAUACAAGGUAAUUCUUUUUUCCUUUGAUCAUUACGCUUUCAAAAACUCUCCAACGAACAAAAGCCCUAAUUCUCAAUUUAUUCAAAUUCUCUUCAAGCUUUCAACAAUGGCUGCUACUCAAAACACCUUUACUGAGGACAUUCUUUCACAAACAAUCAUGAAGAUCCAAAGUACUAAUUACCAGGUCGAGGGUGAUAUUUCACUAUACCUUGAGGAGUUGAAGAUGCUGAUAAUUGCUCUUCAAAAUUGUGGUCUUGCUAUUGUUAUGUUCAACUCUUUCGUAGUUCCGAUAACUUGGUUAUCCAGGGUUGCUUCAACUGCUUCCUACAACAAGGCUACAUAUGUGAUUACUUUUAAUCUUGUGAAUGAGAAAUGGACUCGUCUGACCAAGAAGAUGUUCACUCAAUUCUUGAAUAUCCCCAAUUCUUCACCAUUCUUCAAACCAAACAAUGAUCAGAUCAUGUUUAUGUUCAACGAGAUGGGACAUCAGUCCCCACUCUAAAAAAUCAGUGACUUCAAGAAGUCUAGAUUACCCUGUACGUGGAAUUUCUUCUUCGGCAUUUAUCUUAGGUGUCUCGACAAAGGAAGACUUGAUGUCUAUGCUAUGGUGAUGGGAUUAUACUAUGAUCUCAGUGUUGAUUAUGCGACUCAGUUGUGGAAGCAGUUCGUGAAAAGCUUGGAGAAUACUAAUUAUCACUUUCCGGUGAAAGGUAUUGGAGUCUCGUUCUUGAGAAAAUUUACGAAAAAAGAGGGAAUUCAAGUUCCUAAUAAUGAAGAAAAGGUGGAAUUUACAAAGUAUCACUUUCCGAAGUCAGUCGAGGAUGAUUCAGAAGUAUUUCCUACAAUUGCAAGAAUUUCAGAUGGCAUGUUGAAGAAGGUUGAUCCAACAAAUAAAGUGUUGGUGGAAUAUUUGAAGAAUAUCAACCCUGAUGUCGAAACUGGGGUGUUGCUUGAAGUUGAUGCAGGGUCUUCAAAACAAUCAAAGAAAUCGAAAAAUAGUGAUGGUGCUGCUCUUGUUUCUGAAAGCCCUAAAUAGCAUAACUUUCCAAAGAAAAAUGAUAAUGCUAAAGUAAAGGAUCGAAGAAAGAUGUAAUAGAGAAGGAGUUGAUUAUUGCUGAAUCAUCGAAGGAAGUAGUCAUCUGAUGAUUCAUAUUUUGAAAAGAUUGAGGAAGUCAUCUGAUGAUUCAUAUUCAUUCAUACGAAAGGCUCAGUUAAACCGAAAAUUGCUAAAGAUUCGUGAAAUACCAGCUCCUGUCUCUCCAAAGACGAAAAAGAGAAGAGCCGAGGAUGUAGUAAAGCACAUUUCCAAGAAGUGCAAGAAACGAAAACUGGUGUUUCGUGACGAGUCAUCAGACAUCGAGAUUGUACCAUAUACUCAUUUGGGAUCAUUUUCUCCAAAGGUAUCUACUCCCAUCAUUUCUUCCUUAGCUUCACCAACCACCACCAUUUUAUCCACUGUUUCUAUUGCACUCGAAAUUGGUGUUACCAAGUCAGUUUCUGAGGAAGUACCCAUUUCUGACUUUCGUACAAACGUAUCUGAUACAGUUGUCAGAGUCAUUAUGAGUGUUGACAAUACGAAUCUUGUUACUGAAGCUAUUCCUCUUAUCACUUCCUCUAUAGUUUCUUCUACUAUAGAUACUUCCUUACAUCCUUUCUUCACUCAAACUCAAACUAUCACCACAUCACCCACAUUUGAGAACAUCCUUAAACAACCUAUCACAAUCCUUUUUCAGUCACAAUCCACUGAUCCACGAAAGCCAAAUUCCGAUGAUGAAACAGACGGAGGAGGUUUCGGAGGAACAUUUGAUGAUCUUCAUUUUGAUUCUUAAGAGGGGGAUGUUUCUGAUCACAUGAUGAUGUUAGGAAAAUAAUUCAAGAUCCUAAAUAGAAAGCUUAAUUCAAUUUUGCAAUCAUAAGCCAAUUCAAGAGCCAAGAAUUCGGUUUUUGGGAUCGAGGUAGACGUCAUGUUAAAAGUUGUUUAGCUAAGAUUGCAAAGCAUGUUAGAUACGAAUGAUAAGAGAAAUGAGCUACGGUUGAAUGCUCACGGAGAUUUGAUUGCUUCUGAGAUCAAUGAACUUCACAACGUCGCAAAAGAACGUCAUGUGAUGUUCGUACAAGAUGUUAAGAAGGUUCGUGAAGAUGUUAAUCUCAAGUUGGAAGAAAUGAAGAAGGAAGUUUCUCAGGAAAUUCGUGAAGUUAAUGAUCGUUAUACUUCCAUUCAAGAAAAGGUGGAUAUUAUUGAAGGAGUUUCUUAGUGAACUCAAAAGCAUUGUUUCGAAGCCAGCCCUACAGUCCUUUUUAACUCCUGAAUUUCUUUCUCAGAAAUUGAAUGUUCUUGAUCAAGUCAUUCAGAAGGCUGUACCACCUAUAACGAAAUUUGCUCAAAUGUUGCCUUCGAAUGCCCCACCUUCUAUCACAGUGGUGCAAGGGGAGAAAAGAAAGUUAAUGAAGGCAAAAGCAAAGUUUCGAAUGUCACAAAGGUUGUUGAUAAAUUAAAAUUUGUAACUUCGGGAAUUCCAUCUAAAAUUGUAUCUACUCAAGUCUUAACUCCUUUUGUUAUGAAGGUCAUAACAGAAGACCAAAUACUUCAUAUGAUGAUAAAGGGAAAGGUGUUGCUGUUGAAAAGACCAAGGAAGAGAAGAUGGCUGAGAUAGAAGCAGAAAUAGAAAAGUAGAGACAAAUACAAAGCAUAAUGACGCUAAGAGCAAGUAAUCCUCCUGGUAUGGAUAAGGGAGAUCCAAAAAAGCUCUACAGGUAGGAAAGCAUUGAAUUUAAGGUAGCAUUCAAUCGAAUGUAUGCUUUUGAGAAGAAGCCAAAGAAAAGAUUUUCGAUUGCAAAUACUGAGAUGAGCCAACUGGAUUUUCCUAUAAAUGAGAUGAUGUUCAUCAUGUCUCAAUACAAGAUUGUUGAAAAGUUUGACAAUGAAGAUGAUUUCAUUUACAUGAAGAUCAAAGUUCAUGCAGUUCUUGGGAAGGCGCCAGAUGAGGUUUGGUCAUUGAUAAAGAUCAAAAAAGUGGUGAGCAUAAUGAACUACGUUUUGUUCAAAGGCAUGAUUCAAAACUUUAGAUAUCAUGUUAUUCGUGCAAAUAAUCAAAGAUGUGAUUUUUCUGUUGCUGAUUUUCCGUUAAUGUAAUUGAACGACUUGAUUGAAGUAACUUUGAUACUUAAGGAUAUGGAGGCUUUUCAACUUAAUGGAACUGAUAAAGAUGUUUUCAAACAUGGUCUAGCACACAUCAAGAUUUUCAUAGACAAUUAUUAUGAUAGUCUAGCAUUAACUGAUGAAGAGUUAGCUUCAGGAAUGGGAAGAGAAGUGAAGGUUGCGAUGGAAUUGUGGAAAACUCAAGCUAACUUGAAGAAAUAUGCUAAUUGAGAAAUUUUCUUAAAACCUUUUGGAUUAGUCUUGGCAGGAAAAGAUAAGAAUGGCAAACCUAAAAUCUUUUUGUUUCAAGUAAGCAAAGUGGAACGGUACCCUACAACUCAGUAUACGAACUUUAUUAUUCGUAUGAAUAAUUAUACGAAGAAUAAUGAAGGAGAUAAGAUCAAGUUAAAGAAGGUGUUAACUUGGUACCCGGAGAUAUGAAGGAUGAUGCACUUUGCUGCUUAGAUUCUCACGAAUUAAGUAGUUUGACUCGUUUACAACCCGAUAGAUUGUUAGGGUUGAAAUAUUCUAAAGAGUCGAAGUGUUUGUUUUGAAAUUAUUUGACAUUCUUGUUAGUUUAUUUGUUGAUCUAAAUUCUUUUAAUGGACUCCAUAACAUGUCCUCAAGUUAUGGAAUUCCAAGAGUCUUUUCCAUUAAAAUCAUUAAAACUCAUAAGUUGUUACACAUUAAUAAUUUAAUUCCAAACUCUAUAGUUUUAAAAGUUUAAAAUUAAACCCUUAUACUAUUAUAAUAUUAUAAGUGUAAUAAUAUAUAUAUGUGUAUAAGAACAAGUCAGUCAUACCAUUAGUAGGCCUCAUUCAUGAAGUCAGUCUCUAAGGGGGGUAUAAGGUUACUGCCUAUAAAAUGUUAGUUUAGUGGGUGUCCAUUCUCACCCACCACUUCUUUGACUGGUGGAAGGUCGUUAGUCAAACGGGUCGGAUAGGACACUAAUUCUCGUUAAGUAUAAUGAUAAUUAUAAAGAAACUAAACCUUUUAUGAAUUCUCAAUCUUAGUUACUUUAGGAAAAUGUGAAAUUGAUGCUAACCCAUGAAAGUACACUUUGCACCUUGCUAAGUCGUUAGUGGAGCGUGUGUGGUUAACCGACACACUAACAUGGACUAACAAGGGUGGAAAAGGGUGGCUUAUGGGUUAUCAGAGAUCGGUGGAACGUGUGUGGUUAACCGGCACAUCGAUUAGGUGGUAAAAUUAAGAGUACCAAGAUAAUUUGCAUGGUUAUUCACACCUUGUUUGUGAUCAUCGGUAUCCAAGUCACAAACUUGAAGGGCAUAAUCAAGAUUUAAACAUGCCAUUGAAUUGUUUAAUAAAUCUCAAAAGAUCUAGGAGUUUCAAUCCAAUUAAAACUUAAUAAUCUGUUUCGCUUUUCAUGGUGGAAAUUGGUAAAUCGUCAUUUACCUACCUUCAAAUAUUUUUUAGCUUAGAUUAUGACCUCCCUCUUCCAAGUUAUAAAAUAUUGUGUUCGGUCCUAGCCAUAAUAUUUCAUUUGGGAAUCUUAUUAAAGACUAUUUAUCUAACUUAAACUUGUCUUUCUUCCUUUUUAGAUGUCUUCCAACAAUGCUUCUGGCUCAAACCCUACUAGCUCCUUUUCUCUCAUUAAUCUUUGUGGGAGAGUCAUAUUUGCUGGGACUAAUUUCAAUGAUUGGAUUAGGAACAUAAGGAUGGUCACUCCCUAUAAGGACAAGGAGUAUGUCCUUGAUAAGGAACUAAAGGUUAUUGAUGAUUCUUCCGCUACUCCGGAGGAGAUUGCUGAGUACACUACCAAUGAGAAGGAUGCCACUAAGGUAUCAUGUAUCAUGUUGGCUACCAUUAAAACAGAACUACAGAAAUACUAUGAAGAUUUCUACCCUUAUAAAAUGCACCAGGACCUGAUGGAAAGAUACCAUUAGAGUGCUCAUCAGGAAAGGUAUGAAAUCAUCACCUCCAUGAUAACAACAAAAAUGAAGGAUGGAGAGUCCAUCACAGGCCACCUGCAGAUAAUGUAAAGAUCUGUGGACUGUUUGCUAAAGUUAAAUGUGAACUUUGAUGAGGAGUUAGCAAUAGAUAUCAUUCUAAACUCCUUACCCUCCUGUUAUGAUCAGUUCCGCAUGACCUAUCAUAUUAACAUGGAGGAGGUCACACUUAUUACACUUCCAGGACUUUUCAGGACUGCCGAAAGUAGUCUCAAAUGUAAGAAUGUUAUUACCACUCCUAUCACUGCCCGUGUUAUAGCAAUCAGGAAAGGUAAAGGGAAGAAGAGGAAAACCCCUUCGAAGGGUACCAAGGGAAAGUCUCUUGAUGGCUCCUCUUCGAUUGGAACCAAAGGGAGUUCCAUCACUCCCUCUUCCAACCCGAAGGAUGCACAAUGCUUCUACUGUCAGGAAAAAGGGCACUAGAAGAAAAGCUGCCCCAUGUAAGUACCAAAUUUUGCUUGAUGUAUCAAUCAGAUCCAAUUGAUAAUGCGGAAUCCCAAUCAAUUGGAUGUUUGAAGAUCAAAAUAAGAAGAAGGAGAAGAAGAAUAAGAUGAAGCUAAUGUAUUGAUGAUUAGAAUGAAGAUUCUUACUAGAGAUUCACAUACACACUAUUCUUCUCUCUACUAUCUCCCGCUCUCUAGCCGUCUACCGCUCUGUCCUUUGUUUAUAUGGAACAUGGGAUGUGAACCAGUUCAUGGCCGUAAACACCCACCUGGGCCGUAAACACUUCCAACCACAUGGACCGAAAACCCAAUUUCCUAGAAAAGCAAAGUAUAAACCAUAUUUUUAGACCCAACAAUCUCCCCCUUGGUUUAUAGCUUUCUUUUUCUAUUUACCCAACAAGUUCCCCCUAAAAAUGUAGUUGGCUUUUCUUGUCAAUCUUCAUUUGGAGCUUGGCUUCAGCUUUUAUCUUUGAUUUCUUCACAGCUUCAAGAUGAACUUGAUGAAUCUUCAAUAAAUGACUUCAUGUUGAGAAGUUAAGCAUUUCUUCAAGAUUUGACUUUGAACGUACGUUGGAUGUGGAGGCAUCAUGUAAAGAUUCUUGAAAAAUGGCACUCUUAGCUUGAGAAUCUUCAGAGACAAAAAUAUAGAGAACGAAUCUUUUGGAUCACUUCAGCAGGUACAUAGAUAACAGAGAAUUGAUUGAGGAGGCUUCAAUGCAAUCUGUCACACAAUCUUCAAGUGCAGCUUAACCUUGCUUCUGGGGUUGAAAGAUUGAAUGUUGAAAGAAUAGUCUUCAUUUCUAGUUCCUUCAAAUGAAUUUUCCUGAAUGAUCAUCGGUACGUCUUGAGAGGUAACCGUGACUAAAAAGUCCCUGUGGAUCACAUAAAGAAUCAUAAAGACCCUUCUCACCACAGUUUUUCAAGGAUGAAUCAUUGGCUCAGAAAGAGACUUCUCGCAGUAUCUGUGUAAACUCGGAGGAACAUGCUGCGAUUUGUUGAGUAUCAUAGAAUUACUUAUGGCUAGUUUUGAUGUUAUCCCUUGUAUAUCCUUGAUCAUAGAUCUCAAUACACUUAUCAAGUUAACGAGUUAACUUGGCCCUUGGCGAGACGUUCAACGAUACCUAUUUCCGUGUUGGGUGAAUCGCCCUAGCGUCGUGACAGUUCUUAGGUAAAGAAAGCUAACAAGACCAAUCUGACAAUUUUUCCAAGUAAGCAUGAUUCGCAACUAUCAUCUGACUUUAGGUCAAAUGACUCCAAGACUCCAUCCUUUUGGAGUUGGCCUAUGCGUUUCUUGCUUUUGCAAGAAUCCCACAGUCACCUAUGAACCUAAGCCAAAGAAGAAAAUGGGUAGGCCAAUUUUGGACCCUAAAUUAAACCAUUGGAGUAAAUGAGGUAGAGGGCAAAAAAAGGGACUAAUAGAGGAUGCUCCAUAGAGGUUAUAACCCAUGGAUCAUGGGGAAAAUGAAAAUCCAUGCACAUUAGGGUUAUACAUGGUGUAAAAGGUUUUGAAUAGUUUCAAAUCUUGCCCUCAAGUUAUGGAAUUUAUAAAUUUACUUUAGAAAACAUUAAUUCCAUACCGUAGAGUUCCAAAAGUUAAAAUUCAACCCUUAUACUUUGUAAUAUUAUAAGUUAAUAAUAUAUAUAUAUACNCAAAGUAAUUAUUGUGUUCUUGUAUGCAUAAAUGUGGGCCAAUCAUUUUACUUAUUUUAAGAAAGUGAUUAAUAUAUAUCAUUGAAUUAAAUAUAAUUAAAAAAUACCAUCUAAUUUAACUACAAGGGUAUUUUAGUCAAUUAAUAUAGAUUAAUAAAGGAAAUUUGCAUAUUUUAAGGGAUCAUAGAUACUAUUAAUUUUACAAAUCCGAUUUUAUGAAUUAUAAGGUUUUUAAUUCGGACAUUCUGACAGAAUAUGUUUGAGUAUGUUCAAAAAUAAAAAUAUUCUUGAACCACAAAAUAAUAAAAAUAUUUUUGAACAUAUUUCUUGAUCAUGACUUUAAAAUGUUUUUGUAGAAUAACAAAAUUAUCGAACCAUCAAUUGAAGAAUAAAAAAAAUUACAAUAAUUCUUAUAGACUACACGUAACAAUUGCUAAGAAUUACAUCUAUUGUUAAAGAAUAAAAAUAAAAAAAAUUUCAAAUCUGAAAGAAAAAACAUCGAAAUCUAACAAAGUCACCCAUACAUUAUAAAAGAAUAAUGUUGGUAAGUGGCGUCAUUCAAAUUUCGUGGUCUGUUCUUCAAGCAUCAACGUCUGUAGAAACAAAUCCAAUGAAUAAAUUAGUGAGAAAAUAUCCAUAUUCCAUUCCAACGUAAUUGGAAUUCGUGAUUCCAUUCUGAUAGAAUUGGAAUUCAUUUACCAAUAAUUAUAUUAAUUCGGGGAAUUGUAACAGAUCAUGUUCAUGAUUAUCAUAAAAAACAUUAUUUUCUGAUAGAAUAAUAUAAACGAAGAAAUACCAUUCUAUCAAACAAUCAACCCAAACAUCCAUUCUAUAUAUUGAAAUCAAAUCAGAUUAAAAGAACCCAUUUGAAGAUUAAGUGAAAAGGUAUAAUAACAAAGAAAAAGAAAUUUACCUUAAAUAGUUUCAGAAAAUUCCAAUAUAUAUCAUAAUUAAAACAUGCAUAUGAUUUUGAUAAGCAUACACAAUCUCUUAUUUGUAAAUGAAAUCGAAAAAGAAAUAAUUACCUAACAGUAUCAUUGUCUUCUAUAUUCUCUUUAAUUAAAAUUUAUGUUUUUCAAAUGGUUUGAUAAAAAUGUGUUCACAGUGAUAUUUAUAAUUGUGUAAAAAUUAAUGUUUGUCUAAAUAAUGAUUUUUGUUGAUUAUAUGUGUGUGCUUCAGACAACUAGUCAUCAUAGUGACUUUUAUUAAACAAUAAUUUUGCAGAAGAUUCCACCAAACAUAUAACCAACGUAAUCAUAUAAAUUUCCAUCGCUCAAAUCAAAAAAAUUCCGGUGAUUUCAAAAUGUCGCCCAAAUCUCGAAGAACAGUCGUCACAAGUGAAAGAGAGUUCAAGAAUUUUUUCCAAGGAUGGUCGGUUCGUCAGGAACAUUACAUGGAUGAGCUUCGAUCGAAUUUAUGAACUUCUACUCAUAGCUCCGAUGAUGAACAUCUCCGUGAUUUGAUCGCUCGUGUUCUCUCGCAUUACCAGCAGUACUACGAGGAGAAAUCUCGAAUCUUGAAUCAUGAUGUGUUCUUAGUGCACUCUACGCCGUCGUUCUCAUCGUUUGAACGGAGUUUCUUCUGGAUUGCUGGAUUCAAGCCAGUAUUAAAGUGUUUGGGGCGGAUGAUGGUGGCAACGAUUUUGUAUCAUGAUUAUGGCUUGUAAUCGGUGGAGAUUGAGCGGCUAAAGAAAAAAAAAACGAGUUUAAUAUAAACUUGGAGAAAUUAGGUUAAAAGUCAAUACCAUGAUUAUAGGUAUUAUUUUUGGAUGUUACUAAUCAAAUUACUAAAUUACCCAUAAUUAUUUAUUUUAUUAUUUAAUUUUGAUUGGCCUACAUUUAUGUAUACAAUCACACAAUAAUUACUUUGAACACCUGAACCUAGUUCUAUAUAUAUAUAUAUAUAUAUAUANUAUUAUAAGUUAAUAAUAUUUAUAUAUAUAUAUAAAAGCAAGUCAGUCUUACCGUUAGUAGGCCUCAUUCACCAAGCCGAUCUAUAAGAGGGUAUAAGGUUGUUGCCUAUAAAAUGAUAGCUUAAUGGGUGUCCACUCUCACCCACCGCUUCCAUGACUGGUGGAGGGUCGUUAGCUGAACGAGUAGGACAAGGAAUAUAAUCCUCAUUAAAAUUAUAAUGAAAAAUAUAAAGUAACUAAACCAUUUUAUAAAUUCCCAAUCUUAGUUACUUUAGGAAAAUGUGAAAUUGGUGCUAACCCAUGAAAUUACACUUUGUACCAUACCAAGUCGUUGGUGGAGCGUAUGUGGGUAAUCAGCACACAAAAAUGGACAAGUAAGAGCUGUAAAGGGUGACUUCAUAUUUAUCAUAGAUCGGUGGAGCGCUUUUGGGUAACCGGCACAUUGAUUAGGUGAUAAACAUUAAGCGUACCAAGUAAAUUAAUUUGCAUGGUUAUUCACACCUUUUUUGUGAUCCUCGGCAUCCUAGUCACAAACUUGAGAGGGCACAAUUGAGAUUUAAACAUGCCAUUGCAAAGUUAAAUGAAUCUCAAAAGAAUCUAGGAGUUUCAAUCAAAUAAAAACCUAAUAAAUCAUUUCGUUUUUCAUGGUGGAAAUUGGUGAAUCGUCAUUCACCUACCUUCAAAUAUUUAAUAUCUUGGAUUACGAACUCCCUCUUCCAAGUUAUAAAAUAUUGUGUUGGGUCCUUGCCUUAAUAUUACAUUUGGGUGUCUUGUUAAGGAUUCUAUAUCUAAUCUAAACUUGUCUUUCUUCUUUUCAGAUGUCUACCAACAAUGCUGCUUCUGGCUCAAAC
This 56490-nucleotide long non-coding RNA is filed under the name Lactuca sativa (garden lettuce). RNAcentral's name for it is "long non-coding RNA (LSAT_LNC003977)". Lineage: Eukaryota; Viridiplantae; Streptophyta; Magnoliopsida; Asterales; Asteraceae. The record is from RNAcentral.